This 48046-nucleotide long non-coding RNA is filed under the name Coffea arabica (coffee). RNAcentral's name for it is "long non-coding RNA (CARA_LNC000303)". Lineage: Eukaryota; Viridiplantae; Streptophyta; Magnoliopsida; Gentianales; Rubiaceae. The record is from RNAcentral.
UUUUUUUUUUUUUUUUUGCAAAAUGUAGUUAUCAAGAUUCGAACUCAAGACCUUUGUAAUAGAAGACCAAUGUAGUAACCGUUGCACUAUCACAUCUUAUUAGUUUUUUUGAUAACUUAUUUAUAUAAAACAAACACUCAUAUUUCUUUUGUUCCAUUUUUUUUACAAAAUAUUAUUCUUUCAUGACUCUUUCUUUUUAAUCUUCAACACACACACACACACACACACACACUCUCUCUCUAUCAUCUUUUCUUUUGCCACUCAUUUUUUAAUCAAAUCUCUUUAUUUUUAAUUUAUUGAUGUUUUCUUCCAUAUUUUAAUUUUGUUUUUGUCCAUUAAAUUUAAAAAAGUUAAAAAAGAAUUAUUUUUCUUUAACCCAAUUUAUUUAAUACCACAACCACUCACUUUUAUCUCAUUUUUUGUUUCUUAUCAAAUUUGCAUUUCUAUUUUCAAUUCUCUUGAUUUUCUUCGAACUCCAAACUUCCUUUUUUAAAUUAUAAAUUUAAAUUCCAAAAUGUAAAUUAAAAUUUAAAUUCACAAUGUCUAAAUUCUCAUAGAUGUGAAUUUUGUAUAAUUUCAAAUAUUGUGAUAUUUUUGGAUUAUAUUUAAGAUUUUUUUGGUAGAUAUAAUUGAAAUUGAGAUGAAAUUUAUUUGUUUUAACUUAUAAUUUAAAAAAUUUAUUUUUAAAAAUCCAAGUUAUUCAAAAAUAGUAAACUUUUCAUCAUAUAAAGUAUUAAAUUAUCCAUUACAUGUCUUAUUUUGUGCACAUAUAUAUUUAUAUAAAUUAUUUUUAAAAAAUUCAUUGAACCGAGGUUGAACCGGUCCGACCGGUUGAACCUCGACCCUUUCACUUCACCGGUUCGAUUAACGGUCCGGUUUUUAAAACAUUGGCUUGAACUCAACUCGACAGCCUUAUCGAGCUGCUCGAACUGGACUCGAAUUCGGUUUGACCGAGUUCGAGUCAAGCUUUUGACCGAGUUGCUCGCGAGCUACUCGCGAGCAGUUCGGUUCGAUUAAUUCCCUAAUCUAAUCCAAAAUCUUAAAUCAUUAGAUCUCGGACCUUACUUAAAUAUUAACCGCUUUUUCUCUAUUUUUCGGACCAAUGUGAGACAUAAUAUUUUACUCAUGAACUUAACAAAUCUCCCCAUUCAUGAGUAAACCCCGCAUUAAACCCAAAUUUACAAGUUCAUUUUCGAACCCACUUUAAUACUCAACGCAAGUUCAUCUUAUCACCUAAGGUCGUCUCUUCUCCCAAACAUGAACUCAUUCUUGUUCAACAUCCAAAGUGCAUUCUGGAACUUGCCAACCUUUGACUCUUUGGUCUAACACCAAUUGGACCGCUUGCCAAACCCAUGACGCACCUAGUCCAAUACUAGCCAAACUUCUUAGCACUUUGGCACUUCGAUCCACCAUCAAGACGAGAAUUUUCACCAGUCCAAUUCCGAGAAGAAUCCACUUGUCCAUGAGUAGUCCAAUCUCACAACCUGAAACUCUAAUACCAAUUUGAUAGGGAGAAACACCUUGAAAGAGUCUACCAAAGAGCCUAAUACAUAAGUCAGGAAUAUAACUCUGAUCCAAAAGUUUAAACCAUUAGAUUUCAGGCCAUUACUUACGUAUUAACUCUCUCUUUCUCUAUCUUUCGGACCAAUGUGAGAUAUAAUCCUUUACUACAGCACUUGUUAUAUCACAAAUACUUCUGGAUCGCAUCUAUGUAAAAGGCAUUAGUUCCUCUUAUACAAUUUAGACAAAUUAGCCUGUACGAAUUCUUAUAAACUUAAACGCUGCAAACUGGGCAAGAACCGUCUCAUCCCUUUGAUUCUAUACUUGAAAACCCUGCGAUAGAUAUUGAUGACACAAGUUCCCACAGCACAUCCGUUGCUUAGCAACACUAAUUUAUUUUCAUUUUAUCUUGAAUCACAUCAAUCUCUGUAAAUUGCUGCGAACUUGGCCGGCAAUGCAAUAGCUGAGAGUCAAAACUUCAAUAUGUUGUGUAAUUAAGUAAUAUAUUUUCCAGUCAAUUCACGCAAUUGCAACUAUGUUUUACUAGUAACAUAGAAGUUCAUUUCAGUCGUUUCCUAAUCAAUUAUUAAUUCCAGUCUAACCAUUUAAGUGCAAUUAUCUUUUAAUACGUUGUACAUUCAAGAACUAAUUGAAUAUUGUGAUGAUGGAUGAUUACCUGAGUAAAACAUUCGGCCCAAUAUCUAGGGGAUGCUGUUGAUAAAAAAUUAUUUGAGUUAGUGAAUAAGAUCUUUCUCCUAGCUGCUAAGAUAUGCAUCAAGUUCUUGUCCUGUGGAGAUUUGAACAACUAGGAAGCUAGAAUAAAUUAAUAAUACAGUAAACAUGCAUAUACAUAUCUCUGUUGUUUUACAGAGCAUAUAGAUACAGCUGGAGAAACAGAUCACUGCUUGUAUUUAGACAUGAAAUAGAAUCAAGCUUAACAGGGUACUGCAUUUGCAAUUUGACUACGUGACGAAACAACUACUCAACCAGAAUGCACCUAUCUGAAAUGCAAGCCAAUCUUUUAUUAUUGGCUUUUUUUUUUUUUUUUCAAUUUCAGCUGUCAAUUCUAAGAUAGUUUAAGCUGUGAAGCAUAAGAUAUCCUGCUUAAGUCUUUGGAAGACAAUCAAGUGCACUAAAACUACUAAAACACUUCUCUUCUACCUGCUUAAUUUGGUGAAGUUUGUACAAGUUCCUCUGGAAUAUUUGACCAGCGACUGGAAAAGGGUAUUUGAGAAUUGAAGGAGUCCUGGUCAAAGAAGCAAUAAUAUACCUGCAGACUGAAAACUUCCAAGCUUUGGAAUUGUAAGUAUAAAGAACUAGUUUCAAAUUUUGAUCCAAAAGUUAGAGAACUGGACAUUCAAGAGAAUCAUGUGUACUUCAUCUCCAUGAAUAUGUUAAUUAUUUCUUUCUUGAGUUCAGAUUUGUUAUCGUGUAAUAUAAUCUAGCAGUUAUACUAUUGUACAAGCCCUUACAACAUCAGCUUCCUGGUCAGCCAUCUUCAGUUUAAUUAAUAAUGGCACAUUCAACAGAGGAUUUAAUAACAAGUUGGUCAUUUUGUGAAGAAACAUUUUACAAUAAUGAACAUGACCUGUAGUUUGUUUAAGUUCCAUGCUUAUGGAACAAGCAAGGAAUUAAUCCAGUCCAACAAGAUUGCAAAAUCACUGACAAUUGCUUUACAUAUCAUUCAGGCCAAUCAGCAUCCUGCAGACAAAGGUGCAAGCAAACAAUAAACAAGGGCAUUUUUGGUGAAUGCAAAUCCAAGAAAUGCCAUAUCACAUAUACAUUACAUAUGGCUAAAUCUUUGGCAACUGUAGUGAUAAAAAAAACAUGUGGGAUUUACUAGGAAUAUUGGAAUUGUGGCAUCAGAUACAAAGUUAUCACUGGCGUACCUAAUCCAUGAAACUGAAAGAAGAACAUCUACAUCUAACCUAACCUUUUCUUGGUCAAUCAUUGGUUUUGAGAAGGAAUAAUUGGUAGAUGGCAUUUUACCAGCAAAGGUAAUGGAUGAACACAAAAUAGUAGUUAUCAUGGUUGUGUCCACCACCUCUUUAUAUAUAAGAUUUAUGGUCCAUUAUCUAAAGUUUCAGCACAAUAAAUAUGUUUUGGUCAUCAAUGAUAUUCAUGAAUAUCCAGAACCAUAACCUAGAGUGCAAACAGAAACCUUCAAGGGACUAUAUGUUUCAAGAUAACAAAAGGGCAGUUUCUAGAUUGUGAAUAGGGGCUUUAUCCUUAAGGAAGGUGGUUGGGAACAUUUAUUAAGGGUACACAACCAUGCCUAAUGCAUGUCCCAAAAGACUUGAUCUGGAAGAUGUAAUAAAGUCACCCUGCCAUGGACCUGUACCAAUAGAUAGCAGUAGUUUGAAUGGAAAUUCCAGUUAAGGGAAAGGAAUCAAUUUGUGGCAUGGUUUUAGGUGAUGACAGGGAAUGGAUGUUGACCCUUCAACACAAGGGGAUAAUACCAAACAAAUCCAUCUCAAAGUUUGGCUUAAUAAUCAAAACAAGUAGGUUUUCUCAUUGGUGAUUAUUCUAAUGUUUUGGUUGAAAGGCUAUAAGCCAAGAUUUUAACUCAAAUAGUACUUAUCUUCUCUAUAUAUUUUUUUCUCCACCUAGGGCCAUACUUGUCAAAACACACACCUCUCUCCUCGCCUCUAUCCUUGGAUUCAAGUCAGACAAGUCACUUUGCCACAUAGUUAAUAUGCACUUCCAAAUAUAAGUACAAAGAAAGAUAAUAGCAACAUAAUAAAACGAGACACGUUAUGAACCGUAAAUUAAGUAAGUCGUAAUCUGUGUGUUACGUAUCUCAAAUCCCUUCUUACCCUGCAUAAGACAAUGAAAGAUCAAGAAAACACAUUAAUCCAUUUUCUUUUAUUUCACAUUGUUGUGAAAGAAAAGAUUGUCUCAUCUCCAACGGAAUGUUGAAAUUGAAAUUGAUGCACUACUUUGUUUAAUCGUUUUCCUCGUUUUAGUACUUCCAACUCUGAAGAGCCCCUAGAGAAGGACCAAUAACAUAUCUCAGGCGGUUAGGGAAAGGGAAGUGGAGUAGGAGUCACUUGAUUCUAGUGGGUUCACUUCCUGCCAAAGACCCCACCUUGGUUCUUUUACGUACUAUACUACAAAAUAUUUGUUUGUUUAAACUAGUAUUUUCUUCUUUUUUUUGUGUUUUUCUUUUUUCCUUUUCAAACCCCACAAAGUCACAAAGUCAGAGCCAGAGCCAGAGCCAGAGCGAGCAGAGCCACAGGUCUAGGGCCAAAAGACAAAGUAGUUUUUCAAGGAGAAGAUCUGGUGUACCAUCCGGGGUGGGAUGGGAGUCUCAUUUCAUUUUUGAAAAAAAUAAUACUGACCCCUCGUUACUUCUAUCUACACCAGAAGCAGAUAAAAGCAACUCAAACAACAGAAUAAUCUGACAAUUUCCUUCGCAGAGAAGGAGAGAAGAAAGAAAAGCAGAUAGAUAGAGAGAGCUACGAAAGGUCAUCAAGAAAAGGCGUGUCAUCACAACUCACAAGAGGGAGUAUAUUAGAGACCGUUUAAAAAGAGAGGGCAUGUUUUGAGAGAACAAAAGACUGGAGGAGCCCUCCCCUAGCCUUAAUCCUUUUCGCAAUUUUGCUCUUAGAUUCUUAGCCACUCUUGUUUUUCCUUCUCGUUUUCUUGUGCUCUAUGCAUCAAAACUUGUAGAAAAGAGGACUUUUUGGUGGUGCAUCCCAUAGAAAACUGAGGUGAAACAUGUGGAAAACUCCGACUUUCCAUUCCCUGAUCCUUGUUUCCAUCUAAAACCAUUCAUUUCCCAGCCGUCUUGCAGUAAAUUUUGUAUCUCACGCUUGGCUGCUGCAGUUUUCUUCUUUCAGAAACACAAGUAUGGUCUGAUAAAGAAGUUUUGGGUUCUUGCAUGGCGAGUCAAAGAGUUGGUGAGGCUGGUUUUUCCAACUCAGGACCCUCACAUCAUCAUCACCACAAUACUAUGCCUUACGCUGUUUUUCGUGGGCUCAACCCUCCUAGUACAUCCUUCAUGUACUUUUCCAUCACCUCAGAUCAUUAAGUUCUUUCGUCUUUUUUCUUGUCAGUCUAUCUCUUUUUUUUUUUUUUUAAAUAAUCUGUGAGUCUUGCAUUUAUUCUGACAUGGGGUGUUAAUAUUUUUAUGCUACAGUAAUCAAGAAGGAUCUGCUUUUGAUUUUGGAGAGCUAGAGGAGGCUAUUGUGCUGCAGGAGUUAAGAUCAACAAUGAUGAAGCCAAAACACGUAUGCAUUAUUUUUAUUUUCUUUCCCCAUCAUUUUAUCCUUGUUCUGACGUUUGCAAAGUAUAACAAACUCCUAAAGCAGAAAAAGAGAGAGAAAAGGAGCUACAUAUGUGGUCUGCUGAGGCCAGCGGGGAGGCUAAGGCUUACUAUUUUUGAUGCAAUAAUCAUUCUUGGGUAAAGAACUUGAAUGGCGUGGGGAUACAAACUAGGAAACCUGACCUUCUUGCAUGAUUUACUUACUGACUCCAUAACUUCAGAAAGAACAAAGGAGAGAAAGAGGGCAAAAAGGGAGAUUAGGUUCUUCCCCUUUUAUGAGUUUGAAAGUCCUUGCAAGACUUGAUUUUUAGCUGAUCUUCUGAAGAUUUGGCUUGUGAUUCUAUGCAGCUUUAUAUGCAGCAACCGUCAGGCCUGCAGCAACUCUGGAAAUGUUCCCUUCUUGGCCCACUAGACUUAUUCAGACUCCUAGAGUACUUCCCUUCAACUAUCUCCUCUCAUAUUCUUCUACCUUCUGUUUAAUAUGCCUACAUCUUGUCAUAGUAAUGUUCUGGGGUGUCAUUUUUUGGGGUAUUAAUACGCUUUCUUGGCCGUUUCUUUUAACUUUAGGGAAGUUCAAAGUCUGGAGAGGAGAGUACUGACUCAGGUUCAGCAGUAAACACACUAUCGAGUAGAGCUGAGGCCAGACUGGAACCGGAAUCCCCCAUCAGCAAAAAGUCAUCAUUGGAACCUCAAGGACUUGAGCAGAAGCAUCUUCAGCUACCAAACGAACAGCAACAGCUAGAGAUGGCUAAUGAUGGCUCGAGAGUAGAAAUGCCACAGGAUCAUCAACCAGCUGGUGGAAAACCCACAACUGAAAAGGUUAUUUGCACUUUCCCAGUCUUCCAUGUCUAGUCUCCCAGUUCUUCAGUCAUCACAUCCCAAAAUCCAGGAAAAAGUUGGCAUCCUUUCAGGAAAUUUUAUACUCUCCCGUUCUCUCUCCAUUAUCACAAAUCCCAACAAUUGUCAGAAAAUAAUAUCGAAGCCUGCCUGAGAGUUUUUCUGAUUUCUCAGUGAUUCUCUGAUUCAGUUUCUGACAUGAGAGGCAAAAAAAGCGGAUCUUUUUUUCAGUACUAGCAGUAUCACUGUUCUUGUUUUUAUCUUAUUUGUACUAAAGAGGCUUCUCUUCCUUUACUCGAUUUCCAUAACUGUAGUUUAAGUUCUGAUAAUAAUUACCACCUUUUCUUAUCCCAAGAACUCUAGUUUAACUACUUGUCUUUUAUGCUUUAUCUGCUUUUGGUAUUAGGGAAAGAAAAACGAAAUCCGAGAAAAGAAUCACAGCUGCUGAUAGCAUACGUUAGCUAGUUCAUGGGAUCAGUCCUCAUUAUUACCAUCUUGAAGAAACAGUUUUCACAUCAGCAUCAGAAUUAUGAAAAAUGCCUUUCACAUUGUCUUCGCUCUAGACCCUCUACCUAACAAUUAUGAGUUUGAUUUUUUGGAAUAAAAAUGACCAAAUCUUUGAACAGAUUCUGCAUUGCUGACACGUUACCCUUCACUUCUUCUACCCUUUUGAAAAUUAGAAGUGGACGAAAGUUCUACUAACUUGUUAAUGUAGCAGUUAUUGCGUAAACUACUUAUUUUUCAUUUUACUAUUAUAACAUCAGGCAUGCUAUUCAAACUCAACCAAACUACUCUCUUUAUAUAGUUUUAUUUCACUUUUCAAUGUUGCAGAGAAGAGGGCCUGGUUCAACUUCAGAGAAAGUGCUCGAUGCUAAGGUAGUUUACACUCAAAUGGAAUAUGUGUGCAUGCAAGAAAACGUAGGAUAAAAGCCCAUACAAACAGUCUUGUCUUCUUUUUGUUGGAUAUGUCACCACCUUGUCUUUCUUAAUUUCUUUCAUUCGGCCUUUUCUUUUGUUUUUUGAGUCAUUCGGCCAUAUUUUAGUGUCAAUUACAGUUUAAUAAUAAAGAAAUUCCAAAGUGUUCAUCCACGAUUGAUAAUUGUCUUUGUGGUUGCAGACAUUGAGACGUUUAGCACAAAAUAGAGAAGCUGCGAGGAAAAGUAGGCUUAGAAAAAAGGUCAGUGCCAUUUUUCUGGUUUCUUAUUGGGGCAUUACUAAAUUGUAACAAAGUUCCACUGACCUAAUUCUCCAUAUUUAUGUAGUUGGACAUUUUUAAUGUGUUGUAUUGCAGGCCUAUGUACAACAGCUAGAAACAAGCAGGAUAAGGCUUACUCAACUUGAACAAGACCUUCAACGAGCCCGUGCUCAGGUUGGUCAGUUCCUAAGAAGGACGUUCCUUUUUUAACCAAAAGGACAAUACUUUUUUUUUUUAUUGAUAUUCUUGCUGACUAGAGGGAAUGACUAGUUUCUGACUUUCUUUCACCAACAGGGAUUUUUCUUGGGUGGUGGUGGUGCUCCUGGUGGGAACAUCAGCUCAGGUUAGUUUAUCAUUUGCAAAUUGAUUUUACCAUUUUAACCAUCUUGUCUUUAUCCACCAUUGAUUUUCUUUUUCUUUUCCUGUUUUUAUCUUCUAGAUUCUAGUUGUGGUUAGGACAAGUUUAUAGUGAAGAAAUUUUGGCAGUUAUGUUAACAGCACUGUAGAAAUUAGGUACUAUGCUUGUGAGGAAAAGUAAGUCAUACUCUUCCUAUAUGCUAAGCGGAAUAAAGUUAAAUUGUCAAACUUUGUUCUCUACAUUUCAACAUGAAAUCCCAUAUUCUCAACCAUGAAUCUGACACCGGCUGCCUUUUAAUCGAAAUUUCUAUCCAUGAGCCAAUAGUCAAAUCUGUCAAACGUCACAUGUCAAAUCUUAGUAACCUGGCAUAUGAGAAUGACUAUGACCACAAUUUGUUUAAUUCCAUCGUCUUUUUGAUUUAGAUGCUAACAAGGCUUCCAAUAGAUAUUGCAUGUUUCAAGAAGAAUGUCCUUGCAUUUUUAACAGUUUCCCUGGAGCAAAAAACUGUUGCAAAUCUCACUACUAAUUCUGUCAAUGCAACCACUCUCAGGACAAAAAUGAUCAGACAAAUUCAUUUUAUGCUUGAACAAUCAAAUAAAAAGCUCAAGGAAGUAUACUGGUGGGCUUAUACAUAUGUGUAUAUAAGGCUAAUAGGACUUGCAAUACUGCUUAAUUUUAAUGCAGGAGCUGCGAUAUUCGAUAUGGAAUAUGCAAGAUGGCUAGAUGAUGAUCACAGGCACAUGUCAGAGCUUCGAACUGCUUUGCAAGCUCACUUAUCAGAUGGUGAUAUGAGGGUGAUACUUGAUGGAUACAUUGCACAUUAUGACGAGAUUUUCCGCCUCAAGGGAGUAGCAGCCAAAUCUGAUGUAUUCCAUCUCAUCACUGGAAUGUGGACUACACCAGCCGAAAGAUGCUUUCUUUGGAUGGGCGGCUUUCGUCCCUCUGAGCUAAUCAAGGUUUGCUUUUCAUCCUUCCACUUUUACAUAUGCUAAAUCAAUCACACAAAUCCAUUUUACGUUUGUAUACGGCUUUCUUGAUUUGUUGUCAGAUGUUAAUAACGCAACUAGACCCUUUAACGGAGCAGCAAGUUGUGGGGAUAUAUGGUCUCAACAUUCUUCGCAACAAGCGAGGAGGCUCUCUCGCAAGGAUUGGAACAAUUGCAGCAGUCUCUGAUUGAAACCAUAGCCGGUGGCACUGUCAAUGAUGGGAUGCAUCACAUGGCUGUUGCCUUAGGCAAGCUCACCAAUCUUGAAGGUUUUGUCCGUCAGGUAAAACGAAUUUACGGCAUUUUCCCCAGUAUUUAUUCUAUAUGUGAUUGGCAUUUAGGAACUAGGAUUUGUCACAUGCAUGAACGGGGAAAAACAUUAAUUCUGAACGAGCAAAAUUGGCAGAAAUCUUAAUCAACUCUCGUGUCCUGAUGCAACAUCCUUCUCGUUUAAAGUUAUGACAAGUGCGAUAUCACAUCAGUCUUCCGUUUGGAUGGCCAUACUUUGGUGUAAAUUAUCUGUGGAUCCAUUCAAGAAAAUUUCAAUAAUAAGCAAUGGUUCUUGUGCAUCCAUAUGACCCGAAAGAUAAGAGGAGAUAAAAAGAGAGUUUGUAAAGGUUGUAGAGGAGGCAUGGGAGUGGGCCUUGUUUAUCUUGGCUUCUUUAACUCUGUCUCUUUUCUUUUCGGGUUUUCUUUUCACUCUUUGGAGUACCCAUUGCGUCCCUUCUUUCCAACAGUAUCAAAUUCUUUACUCAUUUUUCCCUUUUUUCUAGGGGAAAGAUCCCUCUAGAGCUGGUUCUGCUUGAGAAAAUAAAAAAGUUAUCCAAAGCAAUAUGGAGUCAAUCCUUCUAAAUUUAACAAAAGGAAAAACUACUUUCAACUUUCCCCUUGGCCUUGGUCAGAGUGAAUAUUAUUACUUCCUGGUGAAGUAAUUGACUAUAUGCAUGUCUUUAAAACAUGGCAUUAGCAGAAAAAGACUGGUUUAAAAGUUGGGGGAAAAAAAAAGCAAGAAAAAUUUGACUUGACACAUAUUUCCAUCAAAACCCAGUAUAUUAAAGCAAUUAAACCUUUUUUUGUAGCACUAUAAUUGCAAUGUAGACACCUGCUUAGAAGAAAAUAAGUUUUUAUUAAUUACUUUCAAGGGCAGCCCUACCAAAACGUAGAGAUUCUGGGUUCUAAUCCCCCUGUUUUUCUCCCAAUUUCUUAAAUUCUAUCCCUCCCUUGCUAGAAUAUUUUUUUGUUCCUUUUUAUAAAAGGGGCAGUCUAGUUUAGGGAUUGACAUAGAAACUUCUUUUCAAACUUCCAUAUAUAUAUAUAUAUAUAUAUAUAUAUAUAUAGGUCAUGGUUUCGUCAUCCCUUGCUAAUCCUGAUACUGGAAUAAUUUGUGGUUAACAACCCCCGCCUUGUCGAUUAAGGCGUGAUUUUACUAAUUUAAAUGUUGUCCCUUUCUUUAAUUUUGAAUGCUCCUGUGCAAAAAGGACAUUAUUUGAUGCAAUGUUUCCAUCAAAAUGUGUUGCUAUCAGAUGGUGGAUGAAAGGGACAACUGUUGAAAUAAAAACCCUUACUAGACCACUCGACCAAAUUUUCUACAGAUGGAUUUGGAAUAUUGUGAACUAGCUAGUUGACAACUCAAAACUUAACCUUCAUUUUCUUAAUCUAUCUAUCACCAAAAUAGUCCAAAUCCUAUGAAUGAAACAACCACGUACAUGAUUUCAGCUCUUUUGCUACAACUUUUGGAGUUCUUCUUGCCUGUGCAUUAUAUAUGACAACAUGGUGGUGUGUCGUCGUAGGGUUUUGCGUUACAUUUUUAUUUGAUUGCAUUUAUGUUUGCCUAUGUUCUUCAUACUCCAUGAUUGAAAUUGAAAUCUUAAUUUGAAUUGUAGGCCGAUAAUUUAAGACAGCAAACUCUUCAUCAUCUGUUGCGAAUAUUGACAGUUCGACAAGUGGCACGAUGUUUUUUGGUCAUUGGAGAGUACUAUGGUCGACUCCGAGCACUUAGCUCCCUUUGGGCAUCACGGCCAAGAGAGUAAGAUAAAACGGAUGAAUUUUUUUUCUGAUUUUAUUUCUUCCAGACAUAGAUCAACAACUAAUUAGAAUCAGGAGCUUGUUAAAGAAAUCUUUUUAUGUUUUGUUUGAUUUCCUUGUUAGAGAGAACAUGCAAAUGGCAAAAGUUUUACUUAAGAUUUGCAAACCCUUUGAGGGAAAUGCUCAAGUAGUAGAAGAUUAUCAAGGAAUACAACUAAUUGCAAGCUAAUUCUUCUUCUUCUUCUUCUUCUUUUUUUAGUGUAAGUAGGAUUUCGAACUCAGAAUUUUUAACUUACACUCCCUUCCCCCAAUCACAAGCCAAUUCUUGUUUAUAAACUUUAUAAAAAUGUUGAGUGGCCAUUUUUUUAAGAGGUUCAUAAGGUGACUAUUUUUUUUUUUGAGUCAUAAUGAAGAAGAAAAAGAUAUUCUCCUUAAAUUAAAAAAUGUAUUAAAAAGAAAAAGUUAGUACGUAGUGUCAUCUAAAACUUGACAGACAAUGGAAAUCAUUAAAGCAUCUUGAAAUAAUGUUGCUGUGUGGAGCACUUUUAAUUUUAUUUAUUGCUGUUGUUUAGUUAUAUAUGUACAAUUUUUAAUGCAUGUCAUAAAUCAAUCAUUGAUCUCAAUAAUUGCCAGGACUAUGAUUGGUGAUGAGAACUCUUGCCAAACAACCACCGAUUUGCAGAUGGUACAAUCUUCUCAGAAUCAAUUCGCCAACUUCUGAUAUAUCCUAGCUCAGAGUAGCCUGAUAGAGUAUUGAUGUUCAAAUCCCAUAGCCUCCUCCCAUGCCUCUUAGCUUUAGGGCUUCCCAAUCUAUAUACUUUAGAGGAAGUAGCAUUUCUUGAAAAUUCUAUCUUGUUAAAAUCCUUGACUUGUAUUAUUAUCUUGUAAAUGUAAAUCAGAUCUAUCUGCAUCAGGAAGCUCCUUAUGAAUUAAUUUAUAAAAAAAAAAAAACAAUUUUAAAAUGUCUAUAUUUCUAGACGAUUAUGUAACAUCAUAUUCAAUCAAGUUCUUUUCUAGUCCUAAGCUAGAAAUGAGGACUAAGGUGAAGGCCUCGAGAGUGCAAUGCUAGCUGAUACUUAGCUAUAAAUGAGUCUACUUUCUUUGCAUGAAAGAAAAAAGUGUUGGAGAUUUUUUGCAUUGUAACAUAUAUACUAAGUAUAUAGGGAAAGGAUGAUAUCUUUCUUGUUUCUUUUUUUAAAAAAAAUUUUUUUUUGCCCCAUUUCCCUUAUUUUUAAUUUUUGUUUUCUUGGUUGUGGGGAUGGGGUGGGGUUGGACCUCUUUGUGACACAACAAUUUAGAAAAUCAACUAGGAAAAAACUAGGAUGAGAGGGUGGUUGCAGCUUUUCAUUUAAUUGAGGUGGUUGUGAUAAAGAUUAUCUUAAAGUACAAAGGACAAGAAAAAGGAGAGAAAGGAAGUUAGAUGCAUAUUGUCUUCUUUCGAGUAGGAAAUUUGCAGAAGUAGGAAGAGGGGCCGGGAUGAACAUUGCUUGCUACUCUGUGCUUGCAUGGCUUUCAUGGAGGUGGAUAUUUUAUUGCAAAUACCAGAGAGAUAAGAGAGAAACUCGUCCCCUUCGUGGUUUUAAUCAUAAAAUUUGACGAUAAACACAAAAAAUAAUGCACAAAGGGACAGAAGAAGUUCGGUUGCACAUUUAUUGAAUUGAGGAAAUCAAGGACACAACGAAAUAGCUGAGGUUUGACAAAAUUGUUUUCUAAUUUUUAAAUUUAAUAAAUUGCUUAGUUUCAUGUUUCUUGAAGCAAACUAAAUGCUUGAGAAUGAAUGAGUUGCUUUCCCACUACUUGUUUGUUACAAGAGAUAUUGUACCUGAAAUCUGAAUUAAUAUCAACAUACUUUCAAACUAGACGUUGGUUUUUGUUUCUUUUUCAGUCUGUUAAUUUUAUUUUUAUUUUUUGUAAAAAAAACUGUUUUCAAUAAGAUUCUUUAUAAGCAAAGUAACAAUAUUUUGAUUACCCAUAAUAGAUGACAGCUUUUUUUACAAGUUUGGAAGAGCUAUAAGCAAUCGAGAACCGAUCUCCAUAUUUCUGCAAGAAAAUCUUCUAAAAUCACAUUUGGAAGCUAAGUCAUGAAAAUUCUUGAUUUAGUUGGCAGCUCGACAGAAAAGGCUAAAAAAUGUCAUCAUUAUUAUUUAGUCUCCAAUUGCAAAUUUUGAUCGUGUAAUUUAGAAGAAUCUUUAUCGAUCGCUUAAACAAGGUGGACAAAAGGCUAUAAAGAGAUUUAUCUGAAUAUUCAGAUACAACAAAUUACCUUUUUCUGUUUCUGUUCUUAGUCAAACAAAAUCCGGACAUAAAAGAGAGAAUACCUCACAUUUGGGCUGUGUUCACUAGGAUAUUAAUUUCCAUAGCUCAGUUGAUAUGUUUGAGGAUCUAGGGACGUUACUUGCUAGAUUUAUGCUUCUAGCUACAUUGUCUAAUGUCGUAUUACCAUUCGAUCUGUUUCUGUUUUCUAGAGCUUCACUGAAAACAAGUGAUUUUCGAAGAGGGGGAAAAGAGAAGUGGUUUUAAAAACUCAUAACUUGAUGGGCUAUAUAGUGUUGUCUUCCAUGAAAGUGUACGUCAAUAUUGUUACAAUCUCGCUGCAGAGAGAACUUUAAAAACUCUCAGCUGAUCACUAGAUCAACCCUAGUAGUUAUUGACUAAAUGCUUUGAAAAUAAUAUAUAUCAAGGAGAUGUAUGCUAGCUAGCUAGCUCAGAGAAAGCUAGCUAGAACACAUUGGUCCGAAAGAUUGGCAUAAGAGAAUUUCUCAGUUUCUUGACGUACGUGAUCACCUUUAUAUGAUUCAAGUUCUGUUUUGACAUUUUGGCUGUAUUACCAAAAAUUGAAUUUGAAUUCAUGGAACAAAGGAUAUUCUUUUCACAUAUAUUUUGAAUUACUGGAUACCAUUAUAAUUUGCUAAGAAAGACAACGUAAAUUAGGUUUAAAUCGUCUAUCCUGAAAUUACCUUCUAUCCCGUCUGUCCCGUGUUUAUACAGUUGUCACGUGUAUUGAUGCAUUGAUAACUCAAGCAAACCUUUGACUCGUUGAGUUAUCAAGCAUUAAUACAUAUGGCAACUGUAUAAACACGGAAUAGAGGAUUCUAAGUGCGUAAAUUAUGGGGUUAGUUAACUGCAUCCAAAUUCGCAACUUAAUUUGAUUCUCUAUAUCGGAGAAGGCCUUGGGUUUCUACCAAACUAUUGGUCGAAUAUAUUUUGUUUGUAUUUCUUCAAACAAUGGCUAAAACAAAAACACUUUCUGUUCGUAUUUGCCAAUUUAAUGCUAUAGAUCUAUUAAAAGACGAAGAGUUGAACUUUUGCAUUGUCAGCUUUUUCUCAGCCAUACUAGAUUACGUGCACAGUAAGGAAGAAUUCUUCUUCCCCACACCAAGAACUACCAAUUGUAUGCAACCGGACCAGUAGUAUGUUGAAUGAGUUUUUGAAUUUGUCAAGUCUAUGCUUUUGAGAUUUGGGGCAGGAAUGGCUUCAAUAGCAAGCGGUUCCUAAAACAUUUCACAGCCUCCAUCGAUCAAGAAAGGAUUGUAUGGUUUAAUUUACAAGUUGUACAUCCAUUUUAAUUAACAAUGUGCGUGGAGUCCAUAAAAGAUGAACUAAAUUUACAUUGUAUUCAAAUUGAUUUACACAUUGAAUAAAUGCAUUUACAUAUUGUUCAAAUGCAUGAAACUGCUCCGAACGGUUUCACCAGUAACAAAAGUUUCAACCCCGGAUCCAUCAUUUUGAUCAAAUCUGCUUUAGAGUUUUACAACAUGUGAAAACAUGGACAUUGAAAACUUUUUAAGAAAGAAUUAUGUGCAAAGAGUGAUUAAGAAUGGCUCAUCAAGAGGCUUAAUUUGACUUAUUUGUCAAGUCGGUGUAAGUGGCUUAUAAAGGACAUCAACCAUAACUAGGAGGAGCAAUUUCAAACGAUUUUGCUGAUAAAAAGUAAUUAAACGACAAACGACAUUAACUAACAUGUUGGUCUUUUGGCCGAUAAAUCUCUUUGUCAAAAGUUGGAUUCGUCAAAGAAAGAGAUUAACGUAUAAAUUAAUGUGUGAUUAAUGGACUCUAUUCGGCCUCUACUUUUUGGGUUAGCAUGACAAGCAAUUUUUUCAACAUAAAAUAAAGAGAAAGGUCGGUAAUAUCCCGUCAUUAUCAGCGUGCUUUUGUAAACCCUAGAAAAUUAUUGGGUAUAAAUCAAAUACGUCAUUUGCAAAUUAGGUUUGAUUAACCAAAUAUAAUCAUUCUUUCAUCAUUGCCUUUUGGGGUUAAUAAAAGUUGGAAAAGCAAUUUAAGUGUCUUGUGGUCCACAAAAACAAGUUUACUUACUACCGAGCCAAGAAAGGAAAGCAAAUUGGAACUUAACUUAGCAAGUAACCACUGGAUUUCCCUGUUGCCAAGUCAUAAUAUCUAUGUUGUUGUGACAUUGGAACAUUCUUGAUCACUUUGCCAAAAGAAACAAAAAGGGAUAGUCUUCUUUUUUUUUUUCAUUGACAUAAAUGUGAAAAUAGAAACUCAAAAAUACUUAACUUUUUAAUGUAACAUUCUCUUAAUUUUUCAUAUCUGUAGUAUCUAGUUUUGUUCUUCAGAUCUAUUUGCUUCUGUAUAUGGUUGAUAUAAUUUCUGUCAUUACUGCAGAUUUAAUGAAUGAUGAUUUUUUUUAUAAAAAAAAAUGUGAAAAUAUUUUUUGGUUUAAAACGUACAAAAUUUGCAGCUUGAAAUCCAAAGCACAGCUCAUCCCACAAAUUUUAGGUUGACCCUCUUCGUUUUCAACUUAACCAAAGAAUUAUACAAAACUUCCCCACCAAAAAGAGGAAAAGAAAGAAAGAAAUUGCAUGUAUAGCUAAACUCAUCAAUUUGAAUUGUAGAUGAAAUGAUCUUUAUAGUACAUCUUGUUUGACAUGGACUACUGUGAUUGCAAAAAGCUCACCUGACCUUUCAUAAAGAAAUGAUAAGAUCUAAAGCAAAAGGGCACCAAAUCCAAUAUCAGACACAUAUCCAAAACGGUUUAACUAUUAUUCAGGAAUGAUCAAUAAGAUUCCUUUGAUUGCUUAAUAUAAUGCCGACAAAUUGUUGAAUAACCAAUCAUAUAGCAACAUCGAGGUAGAUAAGCAUGUACUAUACAAUCUUUCAAUUUACCUUUUUUUUUUGGUUAUUUAUUGAAUUAAUCUUUUUAUACACCGACACGACAGUGUGUACACUUUCAUCAUUGAAUACAUGACACAUAAUUUAAAUUUAAAAUAUAAAUUUUGCAUAUGUGUCACAUAUUCAACUGUGACAGAAUAUAUAAGAUUUACUCUUAUUUGUUAUGGACAUCCUCUUUCUUAAAAAAAGAUCAUUGAAUGAUACUAGUUUUGGAGCCAACUGGUCAUUAAUUCCCUCUGGAGCUUGCUUCCAAGGAAAAUUUGUCAAAAUGGUUUCCUGAAAGACAGACAAAACGUUAAGGGGGUUGUCAUUCAUUUCUUAUAUAUGUUCCUUUUAAGCCUUUGUUUUGGGGUUUGAUUAGCCUUUGGCAAUUUAGAAAGGAUGCUACAAUUUGGAUUUGCAAGCUAAUCAUCUUAGGCUGAGUAUCCAAAGAGAUGGCAAUCCACAAGCAUUUUUAUGAGCAUGAGAAGAAGACUUUGAACUCCAUCAUAUGUCACAACGAGGAUUUAGUUAGUUAAACACAUAGAUUGUAACUAAAUUCCUAAUGAAUUAUAUGUGAAACUACAGUGAAAAAUGAUAGUCAAGGUCUUCACUUUCUUGAUUUCUUUUUUUUUUUUUGUUUUGGAGAAUGACUUAAAUAUUGCAUCAAGUUGAAUUUGGUAUGUAGAUAGUGACAAUGCUAUCUAUGUGUCACAAAGUAAUCAAGCACAAGAUUGACAAUUAUUUUUAGUUACUUAAUUUGUUUGCUUUGCAUACAUUUAACCUCUUUCAAUUAACUGUCUAUAAAACUAGUACUAGUUCCUAUCACAUACGCAACAGCAGAUAAAUUCGAAAGGAACUUCCAUUUUCCUUUGUUAUAAAUGACAAUAGUCCAUGCUAAACUAAUUGGCAAAAACAAUAAGAAAUUGCCAGAUGGUAGUGUUUGAGCAGUUAAAAUUUUCUCUUCCUUUCCUUUCUGAGAAUGACUGAACAGUUGACCAAAUGCUCUUAUUCUAAUGAAUUUUCUAAUGGGUGACCAUACGUUAACAUACCUACAUUCCAUCCUAUCUUAUCAUGUAUAUACACACCCUAAAAAUUAUUAUUUUCUCUUGCAUUUGUACACUUUUCCUAAUUAAUCCCUUGUAUUAUAUGUUUUCCCUAAUUAAUCUUAUAUUUCUAAAAAUCUAACACCUGAAAUACGUCUUAAACACAUCGUUCUUUAAUAUAUAAUCUCUAACUAAUUUCUUCUCCCAUUUGAAGCUUUGAAGCUCUAAGCGGGCUGAAUAUUUUUUUUUUUGGGAAGUUGUUUAAUACAUAUAUUCUACUAUUUCAAACAAAGAAGAAUGGACUAUAAGAUAGACAAUUGGACGUUAAUCCUUGGCAUUUUUUUUUUUUUUAAGAAAAGUGCUUUAUCACUUGAUACUAAUCAAUUUUACUUUGAUUAAACAUAGACUACAAAACCUAAUCCAAUCAGAUAGCCUUCUCAAUAUUCAUGUACUUAGAGAUUGCAACAACCACUAAAUAAACAAACCAUCAUGAUUCAAAACCAACUAUUUAAGAUUAACAUUGUGUAAAUAUAAUAUUAUGAAGCUCGAUUAAAAAUAAAAUAAUGAUGAACAGCAUCUUUAGGAAAGAAUCUUUUCAUAUAAUAGCCCAGUUGGUUAAGAAUUUGAUUGGAUGUACCAACCAACAAAUAUAUAGAAUCAAAUAGACAACAUGCACAAUUAAUCAAGUUAAAGCAUUUAGAAAAGUAGAAAAAUUCUACUUACAACAUCUUCAUUUAAUAUAUAUAUAUAUAUAGAAAACCAUUGAAUUGCUCAAUAGCCAGGAAGGGCUCUUCAAGUUCUCUCACUAUCAAGGUUCGGAAUUCGAAUCUUAAACUAACAAUUGAGAAUAAAAAGGGCUUGAGGAGAGAUAGAACAUUAAGAAUAUAACUUGUUAAGAUCCUCAAACAGAAAUAAAAUGAAGCAAUUUUCACAUAAUGCAAACUAAAGAGCAGUUUCUUGUGUAUCAAUCCGUUAAGACCAUGUUAGGCCCAAUAGUUUCUAAACCGUGGGUGACAGAUUUGGUCACGAAAUUCUAAUGGUAUUUGUGGUUUAAAGCGAAUUUAAUUUAAAAGUUAAUACUCGAAACAAAAAGAAAAUUCAUCUUUGCUAGAUAAUGUAGAAACAGUCUUCUUCUAUUAAAAACUUAUGAAGUGCUCCAAUCUUUCAAUUGUAUAUCAAAAUAUAGAUAACCAGGAGCACAUACAAAUGUCCCUUUUGAAUGACCAUAAUUAAGAUUAGCAAUCCAAAUUGAACCGUCAAUCAAAAAUUUAAAAAUUUUAUGACACAAAUUAUUGAGUUACGCUUUUUUUUUUUUUAUUUUAUGGUGAGACACCAAAAAUAUUAUGUAAAAUUUACUUGCAGUACUAAAAUUUAUACAUGCAUAAUUUGAGUUAGUACAAUCGUUAGUUAUGUGUAUAUGUUGAUUCUAAAUGAUUUACUUGCAACCAUUCUAAUCCAAAUUCUCAAAUGUAGCAGAUGUAAUAGAAUCAGAAUUAUUUACAUGGGCAUUUGAGAGAAGUCACAUUAAUGGAAUAUCAAGUCAUAUAUGGACCAAUUUGCAACUUCAAAUGGAAUCACAGACUCAAGGAACCAAACAUUGGUUUCUUCCUACAUAAAGUUUUACAACCAAAUAACUAAGCUUAAGAGAAAAUUAAAGUGAUGCCUUAUUUGUUUGACAACAAAACCAUUGGUGAUUCAUAGUAGGGGACUUGAAUCUGAGAUCAUUUCAGUCUGGGAAGCCACAGAUAAUUUUUUGCGACUUUAUUACAACCUCAAGGGCCACCACAUACCUCAAAGGCCUUUUUUCAAGUAAAAACUGAAGAAGAUUCAAGGAACCUAAAGGACAGCGAUUCUGUUUGCUGAUAAGGAGGGAUUAUAUGCAGGUGAGAAGCCUAAAUGGCACAUGGUAUUUUGGAAACUUUGGAAAGACAAGCAAGUAACGGACCAGAUUUUUACAAUCUUGAAUUUCAAUGAGUUCAAGCAUCUGAUAAAGUGUCAAAUUAUUUCGAGUUCAAACAGUCAGAAUAACAUUCCAAUACCGCAAACAAGACUUAACCAGGAAUUUAAAAAUUCUAACCCCAAGAAGUAAGAAGACCCUAAAAUCUGUAUCAAUCAGGAAUUGCUCUGCAGAAGAAAAGACAAGGAAUAAUCUUCAUGCUGAGGAAAGUAGAACUCAGCCACUUCACAAGCAGAACAUUACAGAAACAUCUCCACUUCUGAAUUGGCACGUCAAGUCCUAUACAGUCACCAUCUAACAAGCCUUCUUCAUCAAAUUUCAACAAAGAACCAAGAUCUUCAGUCUCACCAAGGAUUUUUACAGGGUCUAAUGGAGUUGAAGUCUCCUGUAACCCAGAAGAACCUCUCUGCAUGUUAUUAUUCUGAGAGUCAAGCCUCUGAAUUGCACCCAACGCAGGACCAAUCUCUGAAAAUCAGUACUCAAUUAUUUGGAAUAGCCCAAUAAAGAAAACUGCUGUUUAGCGCCAGAAGAAAAAUAAAUUAUAUUUUGGCGUCAAACUGGACUGUUGACUACACAAUAAAGCAAAAAGCAAACUUUGUCAUUCAUUUUACCAAAUAUCUUGCUCUGUUACGAGCUUCUUUACAUUUGUAUCAAGUAUCAUAAAGCCAUCAAACUCAAUAGGCCUUGUAUCUUUCUCAAUUGGAGGUUUAUACAAGAUACCGCUCAGCAAAGCACACUGACUGAAUACAUUCUUGCCUGAAUAUAUCCUCAUCUAAAGACAAUGUUAAGAUUUUGGUAUUUCUUUCAUGACGAAGAGACUUUUACAAAGUAGUACCUGAACAUUUGCGCUUUGCUUUGCCAUGAGCUCGUUUACAUUUGUUAUCAAGUAUCACAGAGCCAUCACAUUCAAUAGGCCUUGGAUCUUUCUCAGUUGAAGGUUUAUAUAAGAUACUGCUCAGUAGAUCAUGCUGACCAAAGAUACUCUUGCCUGAGUCUUCAAAUUGCUUGCACCUAGCAAGAGUGCGUUUGACAAAGGGCAAAGCAGCUCGUUCAGAGACUUUACGAAUCCUUGAAGACUUGCUUCGCCAACCACCCUGGAACUGAAAAAGAUACUUGAUUUGAAUAAUAAGGCUCAAAGUGACUCCAUGACAUAGAGGGGAUUCGAUCAACAAUGACCUUGGAGUUCCUUGAUUUGGGUAAAGAAAAUAAAAAUAUUCAAGAAUGCAACAAAAGUAAAAAAGAAUUGUUUGCAAAGAAAUUAUGAUUUAAAUAAUGAUUUCAACAAUCAAGCAACAUGACUAGAACAGACUAUUUGAGUUACUUAUCAGUAGCCCAAGAACACUUCAUUUUUACUUUCCAGUUAUGUAAUUUAAAUCAAAUGCAUCCACGGAGGCCAGUGAGAUGAAUAAUGUAUUAUGUUUUGAGUUUUGAGAUAUGUAAAAGUAUGGACACUUUGACAUGAGAUUUCCCAUGUCAGUUUGGGCACCCCCACCCCCCCUCCCUGGGCCAUGGGUUUUACCAAAGAAUAUAACCUGGAUUAUACAGAACGAAUACAAUUAAGCAGAAUGACAUCUGCCUCAACAAAUGGGACAUUUGGAUCCGUUGCUGCUGUAAUAGUUUUCUUCUUUUACAUUUUCAUUCUUGAUGGCACUAGGUGCCCGUAUUUGGGUGCGGACUAGGGGAACCAGGAAGGUACAGCACAUCAUGAGGCAAAUAAGUAUGGUGCAAAAUCAGGGAAAAAAACAACCAGAAGGGACUAGUAGGCACUCAUAAUCUACUGAUGACCCAGAUUCAGAUGACAAACUUGAGAAUGCAAGUCUUAGCAAAGUGUUUCCUCACUCUAGAACCAUACAUGCCCUUUCCUCACUGUAGAAUUUUACAUGCCCUAUACAUGCACAAUAAGCACAGCACAUGGGGCCAUCAGUGACAUAAAGCCUUAAAACAGCAACCCUCCUUCCCAAUGCAAAGCUAAUGGCAAGGGAAUUUCUUGGCAAAAGUACCUUCAGUUAAAAAUAGUUAUCAACCAAGAGCUAAAGCUUCUUUACUCUAAACGCUUUUCUGUCCUAAAACUAGAGCUCAUACUAGCAUAAUCAAAAUGAAAUAAUCAAAGAAAAUAUCACAAUUUCCCACAAUCCAGAUAUUAGUAGGCAAUUUGCACUUAUAAAAAGCUAGUAGCACCUAUGGUUCACGUAACCAGGAAGUGACGAAGACACAAAGUUUCAUCUAUAGACCUGAACUAGAUAAUCAAAUACUGAUCGUUUAAAAUUCUAAAUUAAAACAUGGGAAUCAGCUUAUCUCAAUUACCAUCCUCUUGUAGGCCAUUUCAACCAGCUGAUCCAUAGCAGAUUCUUCAAGAUUCCUAAAGAAAAACCUCAUUAUUCUCAUAUACAAAUGAAUGAGCUACCUGAUAUCAGUUCAGACUUAAACAGUGUGUGACCAUACCUUUUCUCCAAGUCUUGCUCACAUUUAAUAGCUUUUCCAAUUUUCCUCAAGUUAUUCUUCACCAUUGAAACCUAUCAAGAUUGAAUUAUCUGUUGUAAGGGAUGAAAGAAUUUGACACCUAUCAAGUUAUUGUGAAAGAUGACAAAUUUGACACUAAGGGACAAAAUGCAUGUUACCAUGCUUUUUCCUAAACAGAGUCGCAUAAAAUUAUCUACUGAGAAGCUUUAAAAAAAAAAAAAAAAAAAAAGAAAAAGAGAGAGAUCAAAACAGUAUAACUAGGUGCUAGUGAAUAUGGCAAACUUUAAGAUAUAAAACCACUGAAAAACUUAGGAAAUCACUCUAACCUUUUGCCACAGCUCCCCUCUAAGUUGCUUAAUUUCUCGAUCAAUCCAUCCUUCUCUACCGUCUAGAAGAGGCUGUUAGAAAAGGACGAAUUAGAAAAAUGGUCGGACCAAAAUGAAAAGAGCUUUGAUCAGUCAAAUCCUUACCGCAUUUAAACCAAUGCUCCGCGGUUCCAGAGAUAGUUUGUCAUUGGGAGACAGCAUCUGAUAUGGACAAUUAAAAGGAAAACCUGGAGGUGCAUUUACUUGUGAAGCAUGUGUUAAAAUUGGAUCAUUUUGAUUAUUCCCAUGCAAAAUUCCUGCGUUUGAAUAGGACAAGCCUUCAUCUGCUUGCAGUCGCCCUUGAUUGCUGAAAGUAUUGGAUACACUUCCUGUGCUAUACGUACUUGAUGAAGCACUUUUAUUAGAACAUAAUCUGUACACAGAAGAAUACUUCUGAGCUUGCAUAUCUAACUCUGGCUGAAGUUCAAAUUCCACUCUCUCACAGCAAUGGGGAUCAGAACCUGUGUAGGUACAGGAAGACAAAUGAAGGUCAUCAGUUAUGCACUGAAAAGAAAUGAUCCUUACUUCAUUUGAACUAGAUUUGUCUGCACCUCCAUCUUCAUUAACGAACGCUGAGAGGACUCUUUGAAGCAAUGGAGGAACAAUAUUUGAUGGCUUAUUUGAUCUACCAAAAGCAGUUGAUGUUAUUGAUUGUUGAUCUGAAUUACUGACUUCCCUUCGAGGAGAACUACUAAUGCCACCCUGAGAAAAUAAACUCAACAAUCAAAUUACUUGAGUCAAAAGCUUAGUUGUAUUCGUCCCUGUAUUUUGCUGGUUCUAUCUUUGCCAAACAAAUUAAGAAAAUUGCAAACUUAUGAAAGAAAAUAAAAAGGAGUAUUAAAAAGGGCAACUAAUUACCGGUCUAUCGUAUUCAUCACCAAAUAUCUGAGACUGAGUCAGGUUCUCAACAAAAUUCAGCUGUUAAAAGAAGAGAACGUGUAAGAAAUAGAUGCUGUAUCAAGAAUUUCAAACUUCAAAAUACAAAAUGUAUAUAUCAGGCAUGAGAAUUUAUUUAGGUACUACUUCUUGUUUGAGGAAAAAUAUGUCCUGAGAAGUGACAGGAGCAAAAAAGCUCUCCAUUGUCUUCCAAAAUGGAAAAGAGCAGGCAUUUUCUGCAGGUACAUCAUAUAUAUCACUCGGAUCACAUUCAUGUUGAGAAAGUAUAAAGAAUAAAUGUCUAAGAAAACAGAUAAGAUUCAGAUAUGUACCGCGUACACUAUGAACUGAACCAGCAGCCACUAACAAUUCUUUGUGAUCAUCAUCAGUUUCACCUAGAUAAGUACAUUCAGAAUAGUUUUAAUACAGUUUUCAAAACAAGUCAACUAUUUUCUCUGAAUGCUGUCAUCCUUUAUCCUGUUCAUCCCAAUGCAACGUUGCAAACUACAGAAGAAUCCUGUAGAACUAGAAACUACCAGGUCACCAAGACACAAGCAACAAUAUAUUGCAUGCAACUACAAACAUCAUAGAAGACAGAAAUUCAAAUAAAUGUCUUUUUUAACACGAGCAAAAGUUCAAGUAAAUCAGACCUGAUACUUACCCCUACAUAAUCAUUAACUCCAUAUUCCCAUCCACAGUGGCAGAUUUAUCAAUUAUGUGUUAAUUAUUCUCCCUAUUUUCUUUACAAUUGAACAUCUUAAAACUAUGAAUUCAGGCAUAUACGUCCUGUUAACAUCCUUCUAAGGUCCCUGAUAUUAAGUCAACAUAAUGUACCACACGUAGUGCUUCCAUAAGCCCAUUGUCUUGAUUCCUUUUCAGCAAUGUAAAUCCCAAAUUACAAAGUUUUCAAUCAUUAAUUAAAAUAUCAAUCGUACAUUUCACUCAAUUAGUGCCAUCUCCUUUUGUUCUUCAAAGAGAGCGCUUUAAGUGCAAAAGGAGAAAACUUCAGAAGGUUGAAAACUUACCACUGCUAACGAAAAGUCAGUAUCUUUGACAUGUUUUGUAAUUUAAUUAUGGGGUAAGUAUUUCAAGAACAUUUACUCUGCCAAGCACUUAGCUUGAAAUAUAGGACAAACACCACUGCUUAGAAACAGUAUUUACACUUAAAGUCCUGAAGCAACAAGCUCAUGACAAAGAAAUCCCAUCCACACAACCACCUCAAGAGUGCCCUUGGGCCAGCACUUUAUCAACUAAAAUGCCUAGGUGUAACUCAUACAAAGGAGAUUAGAUGUGGAAAAUGCACAUGGCAUGGUUCCACUCUGUCCAAUUCUAGGUCGCAUUGAGUUACUAUGAGCAAUAUUUCCUUCUUGAACUCAAAUGCUAAAUGACGCAAAUCACGUGAGACAGAAAGCUGACUAGGAAUCAUGGCUGUGAACAGCAUUCGACAGAGAAAUACAUAUGAUUGCAGGGGUAACUACAUCAGCUCAUCAAAUAAAUCUUGUCCUCAAGGAAAAUUUAAGUAAAAAACAAAUAUAGGUACCUCUUCACUCCUAAACUACUCCUGCAUGAUCAUUAGCAACUCUUACUUUAACCAGGACAAGUCCUUUUGUUAGAUUACGGAUAAGACCUUCAUCAGCAAUUAUUCUCAAACAACCUCAUCUAGAGCGCAUCAUCAUUUAUUUUGCCUUUCACAGGCACCUUGAAUUCACUUUUCUAUUGAAAGACACAAUAAUCAUUUCUAUUCAUGCUAGCAACCUCUCUUUUAGGGUCAGCCCUUCCACUUAUAUACAAGGCCAGCCCCUUCUUUGCCAUCCUUCAAGAGUCAAAUGCAUGGACCAACCUAGAUUUGGACUCAUAAGAGAGACACAAUUACUGAACCAUAGCAGAAUUAUCUAUGUGUAGGCUCAGAACCUUCUUUUUUUGGACGUUCACACAACUGAAGGCUAAUUCGCUCCAAUUUUACAUAUUUCCUAGAAGAAAUGGACAUGAAGUCACCGGAAGGCUACCCCAAACCAUGAAAAUUUACAAGCGUAUUUAGUUUUUCCGCUGCUUCUAUCCAGCCUUCCAAAUAUAUAAUGCUGAUGUUAGAUGGCUAAUAGUACUCAAAUUUCACAUAUCAAUUACCUCUUGACUGAGUCAGUUUAAGAAAAAAGAAGCGUGAUAGCUCCAUGAAUUGAUCUUUCUAAAAGAAAAAAAUAUGCUUGUUACGUCAUCAAGCAAUUUGUAUCAAAGUGACCUUAUUGGACAGUCAGGUCAGGCUAGAGAUAUUGUCCUUCCAUUCACUCAGAUAUGCCUCCUAAAUCAUUCAAAACCAUCAUGAAAACAGACCAUCAGCUUUGAUCCCAUCAACUUCCAAAGAGGGUUUUGCUGGUGAAAAUAUUUCUACAUCUAACUUUCUAGACAAACUCCAACAUGAAAAUAGUCUUUCAAAGCUCCUGACACCAACCAGGCAGCAGAAUAAAAAAAAAUAAGGUCUUUUAUUUUUUGGAUACAUUUCAAUGAAUGUACAAGAGCAUAUGGCAAACUGUACCUGUAAUAUCUGAAGGCUUGUUGUUUGAAUUAGGUCCAGUAAGAACAGAUGCCUCACAUUUCCUCAACUUUUUUGGUGGUACACAGAUUUACUGAAAUCAAUAUUUCAAAUACUUGGUAAAACAAGAAACAACAGAAAAAGUAGGAAAGAAUACUAUAAUAACCCUUUCCAGAUCCAGAGCAGUGAAGAUUGCAAGACCUUUUAUCUUUAGUAGAGCUGCAUCUCGUAGUUGGUUUUGUUGAAGGUAAACUUUCAUCUUUUUCUGCUCCUGGAUUGACAUCUACUGUUGCCGAGAUAAUCCUUCCUUGAUUUUUCAUAUCAUUACUGCUUUCUCCAUUAAAAGUUCAGCUACACAAUAUGCAGCAACAGAUGCUCCAACUGCAUGAGUACCCUUUCCUUUAAAUUUUUUUCUGUGACUCCUGAUCCUUCUGUCAUGUUAAGAAGAUUUGUAGAGAAAAUAUUGCCACAAUUUUUCUCCAUUUCGGGAUAGUUCUUACAAAACCUACUUCCUGGAUCAGAUGUUGCCAAAUCUUGCAAUGGCGUCAGGGUUUCAUCGUUUGUCAUUGAAUAAUGUGUCUUUGGCAACACAAUUGGUUAUGUAAUUAGCAGACAAAACGGUCGAAGGCGCAAGUUUACAGUUAUUGGCCAUGCCUGCCGACAUUCCAUUCUCUUCUGUAGGCAGUUUGAGAUUCGCUACAACUCCAGAUAAGAGAUGACAGGAUGAUCCAUCUUCAUGUGAGAUAGAAUUCGUUCUAGGUAUCCUGGAGUUAUCACUGUUUAUUGUACUGCUGGCUUUUUGUUCAUCAUGGAUUGUACGCCUGGAAAAAAUACACAGACGGAAUGCAUCAAUGGACUAUGAACUUGCAUUAGAGAAUUUACACUGAUUUUCUCUUUUUCCCCCUCGUAACUAAAGAUAAUAGGUUAAGAAAAAUGUGUCCUUCUCAAAACUACAAAAUGUGUAGCAAUAUUUUCUUUAAUCUUUUCUUGCAAUCUCAAACUCACGAUGAAGUUUCAAACUGUACAGCAUACUUGUUUCUAGUAUUUUUCAUCUUCUCUUCUGGUGUUGUUAUCUGGUCCUCCAAAGUGUCACCAGUCCCAGCUUAUUCCCCUCUGCUGCAGGAGAACUUACUUUUGAAGGCUCAAUUGACUGGUCCAUUUUGUUGAUUUCACUUGUUCCAAAUGCCAUUGCUCUACAUGCCAGGUAAAAUUGGUUUACCCUCAAAAAACUUGCUACAAAUUAUAUGGAAUAAAACUGAUGAACAACCAGUGCUACAUAUCCUUCUCACACAGGCAGCAUUAGAAGGCUAAGCUCUAGAUAUAGUAACUACAACAUCAAUUUUCAAUAACUACAACUAGCUUUAUAAUUCCUAAUCAUAAUAUUACUUGUCCAAAGUUAGUGUAGAUCAACAAUAAGACGUAGCUUUUCAAUUUUCUCUGCAUUCUAUUUUUCCACUCUCCAUAUUCCUUUGAUCUUUUCAUUUUCUUUUGUCUUUGGGGAAAGGGAAGGGCAGCAUCCUCCCUACCUACCCCCAAGGAAAAAGUCACAAGCUCUAAAAUUGGGUGUCAUACUAGACCAACCUCAAUGUUUUUACUCUUGUCUUUCGAAUUAGCACUGUCAAGGUUUAGAGAAAGGAUGUCAUAACUACUACUUUUUCUGUUCCAUACAUUUGCUGUUUUCUCCUUUUUCCCCCUUUGCUGCAUAUAUUUCAUUCUAACCUUGAUUUAGAAACUAGAUUUAGUAAAACAAUUGACGUCUUCAUCCUCUCCCUCAGCAUAUAAAGCAGCCUCAAAAAUUCACUCGAGAGCUCACUGUGACAAUGUCGAUCAGGUCUCUCCUCUCUCUCUCUACUUCCAGAAUACCAAUAUCCCAAGCAACUUCAAAUGACUUCUAAAACACCCAUAAAUUAGCAAGAUUGUUUGUAGCAUGAUGAAUGUCUGUGGGAAAGCCAGACUUAUAAACACUUUGAUCAUUAUGAACUAGACAAUUCACUGCAUGAAAACCUGGAUUUUCAAAUUGAUAAAAGAUCCAAUAACAGGAUACUCAGUUUCUAGUAUCACUACUGAUAAAACCCACAGCCAAAUACAAAAUAAUGUCAGAUUAAUUGCUAACUAUUAUUAACUACUUUUAAGAAUAAAUUCAGUGCAAGACACUUUAAGCCUUCUUCAUAUUGAAGGGCAUCACUUGCUUCAACUAUUCCUUCGACUCAUCAAUGCAGUUACCAACAAAUACAUGUCCAAUGAAACAGAAACAUGUGUUUAAACCUAUUAAAGUAUGAAAACAUAAAUUGCAUCACUCAUGAAUGCAACUUUUAUUGGAGAAAUGAUGAUCUCAAUUUUCUGGAAACUUCUUUUUAAGGUAAUCAAAUGUUCUGGAAACACUUGUGUUGGAGUUAAAUCACGACGGGAAAGGAAGUAAUCAAACAUCAAUGGUAGACCACUUCAUUUAGUUCUGUUUUGGCUAUUUGAAUCCUGUAAAUUUUCUAGAAAUGAAAACAAUGAACCUUCAAAUGCUACUAGAAAAACUAGUAAAUGCAUAUAUAUUAGAUUAACAUUGUGAGAAACAUGUACUUUUCCUAGUUUUUCCAAACAAGUAUUCCUAAAGUUUUUCUUGGAAAUCGAAGCAAUGUGUGCUAUCAGAAAUGAAGUAAAAAUCCAGAAUAGCGCAAUGACAAUCAGAUUAUAUCUUUACUUGAGGGAAAGAAGGGACUACAAAACAAGAAAAGUUUCAGCUAAUGAAAUGAAUGAAAGGAAGAAUAAGAUAAUCUAUACGCUUUUGAGCACCAGCAAUGAAGAUGCCCAAAAAAGCCCAAGCCAGUUCAAUUCCUCUUCUCCUUCUACAGUUAUCUUCACAUCUAUAAGCCUCUUCAGUUAAAGAACAAUCCUAAAGACUUUGGUAUAGGACCCGGCGGAGAAGAAAACCCUAGCUGUGUUUAGAAAUGUAAGAAUUUAUAACUGAUUUAUCUAAUUGUAGCCCAACCAUGCUUCCAAAAGUCCCAAUAAAACCAAUUUUAAUCUAAAUGUGAAGCAUUUAGAUUAGUGUCUGCAAUACAUUUUGGAACAGUAACAGAACCACUUUUACAGCUAUUUUGCUCAAGACUCUUUGGUUUUAACAUACAAUUUACCACCUAUGUCACUCGUAAAACCCAACAUUUAAGUAAGUGAACCAUUACAUAAAUCCUAUAAAGUCUGAAUGCGAUAUAAUGCAUUGAUUAAUCCGACUCAUUUCGUUGACUUGUUUCCCUACUUAAAAUCAUCUCUACUUCAAAAAAAGAGUCAAUCUUAGAAACAAAUAUAAUGUCUCAAAGAUGCUAAUUUCAGAAAAGGAAAUCAAUGAGAAAGAUUUUGCUAUGACUUAUUUGCAUAGCAUAUACAAAAAUUUCGAAUACAUGCAUUAAAUCCAUAAUUUAUAUGGAGAGACAGGAAAAUUUAAAAAUAGAUCCCCAAUAAUUUCAUGCACAUACAUCCAUACCAGAUUUUAGGUGGAAUAAAUAAGAAGGCACACAAUAUCAAUCCAAACUAUCUUGACUAUAAAUUUUUCAGUCUCUUAAACAGGAAAUUAUACAACUAACACUUAUGAGAAGACUCUCAGCAAACCAGCAACUUUAAUUGACUAAUAAAAUAACACAACUCAACCAAAAAGCGAUAAAAAGUUUCCAACCAAGAUUGAAGACAUGAUAGAAAUCCUAGUCCAAGCAAGAUGUCCCAAAUAUGUUAUUUACUCUACCUCUGCAAGUUUUAAUAGCAUAUCCAAACUUUGAAUCAAUCAUAUUGUUUCUCUGCACAAAAAAGUCUCAAAUUGAUCAAUAAACUACUCAGAAACAAAGUUUUCAAGCAAGUACUAUAUUGUCUCAAGGAACCACCAUGCAGUGGCACUUAUUUACAACUUUCUCAAUAUAAAUUUCUCUCCUCUUUUUGAAAACUUUAACUGAAGGUUCAGGAUAUAGUCACCCAUAAUUCGGAACAAAUUUGUGAUCUAUUACUCCAUAAUUUGGAAACAUAUCAUCCAAGUAAGAUGACAAAGACAGUUUCUACAGGAUGAUUAUCAUUUUUGUAGGAUCCUAAAAAAAGAAAACAUUGCUUACACCAUUAUUUGAAGGUAGAAACAUCCUACAUAGUUCUUGAUCACAAGUAAAGCAAUCCAGUUCUUUUAUUGCUGACCAUGCCAACCAGUAGGACAGGAGAAGCUAUCAUGCAGGAGAUUGUGGCAGGCAACAAAGUAUAGAAACAAAUGAAAAGUUCAUCCUGUAAACAUCUUGUAUUACAGGUCUGCUCCACUACCAUUUUGUCACACCUAGACCCAACAAACCCGGUGAUGUUACCCAUGCUAUUGCACUCAAUCCAAGGGGAGACAACCAACCUCUUAAAAGAACUCUAUCAGUGCCAGGGCACUACAAGGACAUCCAAUCUAAUUUCUUUGACGAGGAGAGUCUGAGAACUGCAUCAAAUAGGAGAAGAUUUGGAAUGGAGAAGAUUUGGAAUGUCUUACAAGUAUGAGCCACAGUACUGCUUUGCAGCAUAAGAUAUCUGGUGUGCAACAUAAUACCAAAAUCAGAUUCAGUUAUGCUGGUUGACUUGUGGUCACACCACCAAGUUCACUGGCCUGACAAAUUGGCAUUAGAGCAGCUCCAUAGGUGAGAAUGUCUUGUAUUUAGAGCGAAAAGGAUGUCAUGUUCUUUAAUCAAGGUGAUCGUGAAACUUUAGUAUAUCCCACACUAAGACAACAAUUAUGUUUGAAAUAGGUCUCAGGUCCUCAAUGCACAAAUUUUGUAAAUCCAUAUCCAUAAAUAAGUGAACAUUUAAAUCAAAUUCUGCAUGCCUGCUGCAGCUCAAUUUUGCAUUUGGGGGUUCGGUUUUAAAGGGGGGUGUUGAAAGUAAAUCUCUAGGUCUGAUCCCAUUUAUUUCCAAGUACAAGCAAUACUGGAAAGGGGUGAUUUUUCAUGGUCAACCUCCAAGUUAGUAGAUAGUCAAAAAUGUCCUACAUAUACCGAAUGCGACUAAUUGAAUCAUAACCCCCCCCCCAACCCCCAAAAAAAGGAACAAUAUUAUUAAACAAAAUCACAUGUAAUCUCACAUUUGCAAUACUAUUUCUCCUCAAAUUUUCCACAAUGGCUAUCUCCACUAACACAAAAUAUUUUCAGAUCAACAAAUAUUACAAAGAUUAAGUUUUAGCAACUGUGCAAGCUAAUGAAGCCCACAAUGUUCAUCUUUCUCUCUGAAAAACCUUACGUUAUGUUCCUCCUAUCAUCCAAAGGACUGCUGAAUGUUUCCCAAUGUUCUUUCAGCACCUUUCCUGGGCUAACUAAAGUAUUGCCCACUAAAACAGAACAUGGAGAAGAUUUCCCAAUGCUCCUUAAGUCGUCAACAUAUCUAAGGUGCUGCAGCAAUUGGUUGUCUUCCCCAUUUUCCUUGCCAAAAAUUCGUUCUGUCAGAAUCACCAGCUAAGCUGCGCAGCAUUGAAAACAACUUUUUUCUUGGAAGCUUCAAUUGUCAAAAAUCCAUGCUCUUCUAGUCUUCCUUCUAAUUUAUGAUGCAAUCAGGUUUCACAAUAAACAUUUAUGAAUCUUUCCUCUACAUAUCCACUUGUCCUGAUUUGCAAUUGUAGCGCUUAGAUGACAAACCAUGGGAAGGUCGCAGCUCCUAUUCUUGACAUCCUAAUCUGAACUCCAAAGCCCUCAUCUUCCGAUUCCUACAUUCCUCCUUGAUAUUGCUCCAGUUGCUACUUUGAUAGUUGGUAUGCAGAACAAACCAAGAAAUUCUCCAUGACUGCUCUUUGCACAGCGUACCUUCUUCUGCCCUCUAUAGAAGUUUCAAUAAAUUAACAGAAACCCAACCCAAGUUCUUAUGAUACUUCACCAUAACCCACACGAUAUAGCAGGUCUAUUUCUUUAACUCUCCAAUGAUCUCAUUACAAUCCGCACUUCUUGCCUGUUACCCUCCUUAGUGCCUCUAGUUCUCCUACAAGUCCUGAAACCCAUUUAUUUCUGCAAGAGCAGAAUAGAGCCCAUGAAUAUUCUUGAUGUCUAAGAAGAGCCCUAUAUUCCACUGGGGAUAACAGGUAAUUAGUUUAAACAGCUUGUCUCCCUAAAACCUUGCAAUGGAAGUUUCUUUGCCACUACUCCAAUUUCUCAGCAAUGAAAUAGGAACAACAGAGAAAUAAACACCUUGCUUUGUGCAACUUCUCCCAUCACAAGUCCAUCAUGCAGAAUGCAAAUGGACAAAUGGAAUUGAUGACACACUGAAUCAAAUGUAAACUUGGUGAAUAUACAUCCAGAAAUGCUUCAAAAUUGGAAGCCCAUUCAUCAACUUCGUAUGAAAUCUUUAAAUAGGAAAUGUGUAAAGAAGAACAACAUAUUAUUACGAGUUUUACUCUUAAGAUGCCCUGUAGCACUGUUCUUUGUGGUUACCACUCAAUCUGUUGUAUUUCAAGAAGCCCCAACAAUCACACAACAAUUUCCCAGCUAAUCAGUUAUAUCUCCAAUUUACUCAUUUGCCCAUGUCAUCUCUAUCUUUCUGAUUUUUCUGCAAAUAUUGCUAAUCAUACUUUUCCAUGUUUAGAAUUCUUCAAGCACUGUUCUCUGAUCUCAAUGUCUGAAUGUCACACAUCCUUCAUACUCCUAUAAAAUUUCCACACCCUUAGCAUAUGGUUGAGAGACAAUGCAAAAUUGCAAGCAUGACCUAUUGGAAACUUAAUGCAAGAACUGGUGCUUCUAACAUUUUGUCUUGCUUUGCUUGUUUUCAACUUUUUGUAUCCCUUUCCAAACACUUAUGAACAGUUGAAGUAGACUUCAACAUGGAUCAGCAUCCUCAACAAGCCCUACGAAAUUCUUCACAAACAUAGUUUGGUUUACUCAUCUUUUGUUAUAUUUUCCUGAUGGAAAAGUAUUUUCAAUAUCUUCGAGCCUCGGCUAGUGUUUUGUGCCUUCCACUGAUAACCUUUGAAAAAGCAACCUAAGAAUUCCUCUGUAAUUACUGACGCUAACACAAAUAACCUUCUUCUGGAUCAUCUACGGUUUCCCUUGACAAUACCUUACCUAACAGCACCAGGAAAGGAAAACUAAUGAAAGAGAAAAAUGCUUGUUCCUGAUUACUUAAUGUUUCACAAGAGUAUCAGUGACAGAUGACAAUAUUCCUCAAAAUACUGAUGUUAGCAGCAGCAGUGAUAGAACAAAUGUUAAAAUAUUUGUUGUAAUACUGAUGCGGGUUUAAGAGAACUUCAAAAUGCAGAACAGUGCUGCUCUUAUCUCACUUAGAUUAAUCAGUAUACAUUUUCCUAAUGCACAGCAAAGUGAAAAGUGAUAUGGGAUAUAAUGAGAUGGAAAAAGAGGCAGCAUGUUUGAUAUAGCAUAUAGAAAGCUGCAUCCCCACAUAUAUCAAGCCAAACACCAAGUUUAUAACUGCUGAUCAUAUCCAAACACCUAGAGUCAGACGAGUGCAAUCUAUCACCAAGCAGAUUCUCAAUAAAGUAAAACUAUACCUGAAACCAUAACACCACACAUGCAGCCUACUCUUCAUUUGUUGAGCAGGCUUUAUAAACUUGUAGCAAGUUCAACAGAAUCAUCAAAUUUCAGCCUCAAAGACAUCUCCAUCUUCUUAGUUGCACUGGACUCCACAAUAGUUGAUCUAGUCUCCUUGAUAUGUAGAAUCAUUAAAGCAAAUAAAGAAAUAAUAAAAGGAAAUAAAACAACAUGUCUUUUAACAGAACAGCAGUUGAAUAGAUGAAUUAUACAAGCCAUCAGUUCAGAAAAACUGAAUAUAUUUCACUUGAACAAAUACUCUAUGAGCUAAACGGGAAUUACCUCCUUUAGAUGCCAAAAGGAAUUGGAAAAGAAAACUUUAUCAGCAUUUUCAAAAGUCAAAAUCGAAGAAAAAUGACUUGACUAUAAGAAUUGAUCAAAGAUUGCCUGCGAACAAAUAUGAUUAUACGUAGUAUCAGUUCACUGAGUGCAGCAUUAAGAUAAACCAUCCAAAAGGACAGAGAAGUAAGUUCCAAGAUAUAAGCCCAUGGAAAGGAAUAAUAUCCACCAUUUAAUGAUCCUAAUAAAAAGAUAUCUUGCAGAAGAAUGUAACAGACAUCAAUCUGAAUAUAUUUGUUUUUUUACAGAUACUAACCCAUGCAACCAAAAGUGAAAUGCACACUUGCUUCUUCAGGUCCAGUUUAACAAUCAUAGCAUUCUCCUCCGCAUGUUCUGGACAGUCCCCAAGAUUUCUCAAACCCCAUUUCGCAAUCUCCAGUGAAUUUGCACCACCUUUCAUCGAGUAUGAUAUCACUCCUACGUUACUUCUUGAUCUCACAGCUCUCAUGAGUGUGUGAAGCAUGCUCAUAAAAUAUGAGAAAUUUCUACCAAAAAAAUGAGAAAUAAGGAUUACAUCAGAAGGCCAACCAACUUUUCUCUAGAGUAGAAAAGAGAACCUUUUAGGCCUAGAAGAAUGUCGGGAAUAAUCCAAAAGAUUAAAUUCAAGGGAUAAUUUCAGAAAUCUCCCCUGGAGUUUUUGAUAGUUUCACUUAGCUCCCUUAAAGUUUUAAAAAAUCACUUAUCCCCUUAGUUUCAAAUUUUUGUAACAUUCUCUCAAUUUAAAGCGAAAGUUGUUUCGUUCCAAAGUUGACCUUCCAUUGUGAUUCCUUAGUUGUAAUGACAAAUCAAUUUAAAAUCCUUUCAUAUUUGUUAAAACUUGAUGAAUGUGUUUUUUAGUAAAAAAUUAUAAGUUUAGAGUUGAGAAAUCCUUUAACAAAUCUUAUCUAUAAUUUGGAUACAAAAUUCUAAAUUGACAAAUCAUAAAUAAUUAACAAAGUAUGUAAAAACUAUUUGAAAUAUUGUAAAGAUGUGAAAAAUAACUUUUUUCAUCUUCUAAACAACAACUCAAAUAAAUUCUAAAUAUAAUUUAAAUUUUUUCUAAAUCUUCAAGACAUUGAUUCAAAUAAAUAAAAACUAAAUAUUCUUCUAAACAAUUCAUAUUAGAUUCAAUCAAAACAUUUUACAUAAAAAGAAAUAUUUUUCUCAUUCGAUAAUCUAAGAGCAUGUGAUAAACAUAUGGAUAAAUAAAGAUUGGACAAACACUGAAGUUUUUAAAUUAUGAUAACCUCCUAAAUUACAAAACAUUUGUAGAAGAAAUCUACAUUUUUUCAAAAAAUAAUAAUAACAAUAAUAUCAGGUUUAUUUCUUACUAUGUGACCUUAGAUUACCAAAUAGACAAACAUUAAAGGAAAAAAAUUACUUUGUAAUUUGAAAACAUGUUAAACAAAAUUUUAUUAUUUGUUUGUACUUUAAAAAAGCAUAUUGUUUUAUGGUUGCAAUUAUUAUAUGUUGUUCCUUUAAAAAAAAAAAGAACAUUUUCAUGCUUUUUGUCCUUAUUUUAAACAUAUAAUUAUUAUACUUACAAUUAAAAAAAUUAAGGCGAUGAAGGGCAUUAUUGGAAAGAAAUUAUUUUCUCUUUCGUAAAAUGAGUAUUUUAAUCAUAUAAUUUGAAUUGGGUUGAGAAAGUUACAAAAAUUGAAAAUAUGGUAGGUAAGUGAUAUUAUUUUUAAACCUUUAAGAGUAAUAAGUGAAAUUAUCAAAAACCUCCAGAGAGGUUUAUGUAAUUAUCCCUUAUGCAAAUGAUUAUAUGAAAUCAAAAUCCACACAAUACCUGCAGCUACUUCUACGCAAGAAGAAGGGAAUCUCAUAUAAUCAUCAGAGCCACAAAAAUUAAAAAUUACAGGAUACCUGAUGAAAAUAUGCAUGACCCAUUUGAGAAUUUGAUAUUUUUCAAGUCAAAAACUGUGUCGCAUGUGGGCAAGAAUUCAAGAAACAAAAAAACAACUCAAAAACCCAUUUGAAUAAAGAUAUGCAAUUUCAAUGAAUAAAGAACUCACCCUAAAAUUGUUACGACUAAGUGGCAGCUCAGAUUUGCAGCAGUUGCUUGUAUCAUACGAACAGAGCACUUUGAAAAGGGGUGUUUCGCAGAGCACUUUUAUGUUUUCCCUAUUUUUUUCUAUGGAGUAUAAAAUUCUUUUUCAUCAACCAAAAAAAAAAAAUUAGGAAGCUUGUAAUCUGAUGGGUAAAUAAGGUGCAAAAAUCACAAAUUUGUCAGUAUGAACAAUAUUAUACCAUGCUUAAUAAUCUUAGUCUUGCAUUUUAAAAAUACUGGUUUAAUUUAUCUCAUCAAGGAAAUGGAGAAGACAGUGUCAACAUGGAGGAACUUCAGAACCAAGUACUAGUAGGACGAUCAAGUCUCAAAACUGGAGUUUUCUGUGGGGCUUGAGCAUGCCAAAUAAACUCAUAAACACUUCAUCUGGAAAUGUUUGCAAGGAAUACUGCCAACUAACACAGUGGUGAAGGGAAAGUGUGGUAAGGGGGACCAUGCGUGCAAGUGCUGUGGAGACAGCUCUGAGACAUUAGAGCAUAUGUUUUUUCUGUGCUGUAAUGCUAGAGCAAUUUGGAAGGUGGCACCAUUGAGGUGGGAUGGAUUGGAGGAGUUUAGGAAUAACUUUUGGCAUUGGUGGGAAGAACUUGGGGGGGCUGUGGCUCGAGGGGAGGAAGGGAACACAUAACUCUCACGGUAAACAUUUUCUGGCAGAUUUGGAAAUCCAGGAAUAAUGAGCAGUUCAAUAACAGGAGCAGUGAGCCUAUGGUGGUGAUUAACAAGGCACUAAUGGAAUGGAAUGAGUUUCAACUGGCACAAGGGGGGGGGGGGAGCAAAACAUGACAACCUGGUAGUUGGAGAGCAGGAGAAGGGCAGGAGAUGGGAUACACCGCAAGCUGGCUGGAUCAAGCUCAACACUGAUGCAGCUUUGGACCAAAAACUUAACAAGGCAGGGUGGGGUAUAGUGGCCAGGAACGGUUCAGGGGAACUGGUAGGUUCAUGGGCGAGGCCAACUGAAGGCUGUGCUGAGGCACAGGUGGAGGAAGCUCUGGCAAUACGAGAAGCUAUGGUACUAGCUAAACGAAUGGGAUGGAGAAAAGUGGAGUGAGCUGGAAUCGGACUGUAAGCUAGUAGUGGACAAAAUCAAUGCAAGGGAGGAGGAAGUCAGCAUAGCCAUAAUUCAGUUGGAUAUUUGGAGGCUGAUGAAAGAAUUUGAUAAAUGUUGUUUUUCUAUACUAGAAGGAGCAACAACUAUGUAAGUCACUAUUUAGCAAAGUUUGCUAUAACACUGAUUGAUGUAGCUGAAUGGAAGCUUAGCUUCCCAGCGUGGCUGUGAAUUAGCUCAGGCGGAUUUACAGGAGCAGUUGCUCUGACUCUGUACCCGUUUAUGCUUAAUACAAUGUUAUCGUUUGGAAAAAAAAAAAAUCCUAGGAUUGAUGUAUUGUUGUUUUGCAGGAUUUUGUAGGCGUAUGAUGGAAGAAAUUUGACGGUGAGCCUGUGAAUAAAUUCAAUGGCAAUAAUGAGUUGAUGUUCUUAAUCCGGUUGAAUUGAGACAUCUUUGGCAAAAGAUAAUAAAUGCACGAGUCAAUAAUAUUCAUUGAACACAAUUAGGUUUUGAUUAUUUGAUCAUCUACACCCAAUCUUUUGGUAUUGUAAAUGCUUGACAUGGGUGUAGAUUGCAGCAAAACAUUUGGUCCUCACCCCAACACCCACCCCCUCCCCCCCUCCGCCUCCCAAACGAAAAAAACUUGAGGUCCAUCUCACUUUUCCAGUUUUCCUCUUCUCAGGACAGACAAUCCCCCCACCACCACCACCACCACCAAAAAGAAAAGGACAAAAAACGCCCAAACAACAAUAGAAAUUAAUGGAAGCAAACAAAAAUUAUAACAUCAGAGACGUGACAUUUGUUCUAUUUCAGUAGUUGACCACUUACAAGUUCCUAUUUCAACUUGCACACGACAAGAAUGGUAGACAAAUAAAAGAGAAACAUUACUGCUUUCUAGGUGAUGUUAAAAAAAUAUAUAUUAAAGAACAAAAAAGAAAAGAAAAGAAAUUCAAGCCCCUGUUCCUUUUUCCUUGACUUGGUUAGCUUAUGUACAGUUUAAUAUAGAAAACAUAUCCGCCAUUACUGGAAGCUCCUUCAAACAAAUAAUGUCACUUUGUGAUCCAGUUUACUUACAGAAUGAUCAAUUUGAUUACAAGAACAAGCCAACAAUUGAUUGGCUAAUAAGGCUUGUAUUCUGGAGAUCUUCUCCAAGCAAAAGAGACCUCAAGAUGGCUGCUGCACAUACCGAACUGUCAUACACAAGCAUAUGCCCACCAUCAGGAACCUCGUGAUACCGAAUCCAGGGCAGCCUUUCUGAAACAUACCUUUGCAAUUUAACUGGCACAACCUUGUCCUCGCAACCUUGCCAGAUGUGAACAGAGCUUUCAUUCUCAGCAUAUGGAUUAGUUAGUUCCAUCGGUUCAAAGUCCCACCACCAAAGGCCACAAUGCAGUCUUGCGAAUGGACUCAAACGUGUGGCGAUCCUUAAAUCCAUUCUGUACAAAUAGGUAAAAUGAGAUGGUCAAUCUUUCAUCAGCUUUACAAAAGGAUACAACAGACUAGUGCCUUGCUUAGGAUAUUGUUGUAAGAACAAACUUCCCUUCUCUUUUAAACAAUUUGCACAAAGAAAAUUACCUGAGCAAAUAAACUGGUAUCCUUUAGUGUUACUCAAGAAUUCUAGGUCUUUCGAGCUAAAGAAUGCAGGGUUUUUAUCAAGAACGUUGGAUGAGGGGAAAACUUUUUGAGUCAACCACCAAUGUAGCAGUCCAGGAGUAUGGCGUAAAAGCCAGAUAAUCCAUCGGCAAAGGUUCUUCCGGUAGUCAUCCUUUACCAGAUCUUUUGGAAGAGUGCGCCACUUGUAAUUGAUCAUAGGGACUAUGAGCGCAGAACCUGCUAGCCUGCAUCUCAUAAAUCAUAGAUACAUGUAAAAUUUGCUGGUUUGAAAUAGGAACGACAACUGCUGAAGGCGUUUUUGAGGUGAGUUCUAACCUAUGUGGUAGACGUUUGAGGCAACUCCAGACAGGAUAACAACCCAAAGAAACUCCCAUUACGUAGAAUUUGGGUCCUAGUUCUAGCUGAUCAGCUAGUUCCUCAAUGUCAGAUGCUUCACUUUUUACUGAGCGUUUUGGAUUUGGAUCACUCUCCCCAUAUCCAGCUCGAUCAAAUAAGAGGAAAUAUAUUCCCAACUCAUCCAUUAGUUCCUGGAGACUAGUACACAAUGAGAUUGUUCCAUAUAAUGAAUCUUUAUGAAACAAUGGUUCACUGGACAAAUGUAAAGGCCACCCCAUCUAUACAUUUUGUAUUAUCUUAGUCAAAUGAGAAACACAAAGUUACUUGUUAUUAAUAUUAGUUGUAUGUCAAUCUUGAAAGUGGUACAAUUCAUUAGUGAGUCAUUCCAUCACAUGUAUAAAGUUACACUCUUCCAUCAUCAUUCCACAAAACAACCAGAUUAACUGCACUAUCUUGACCCUUGUAAAUUGCAUAUAUCAUUAAAUCAGUAAAUUACUUUGUGUUGCUAAAUCAAAAAGGCUAAUUUCCUCCAUAACUUACAAAACAGAGCUAGUCAAGAUUGAUGAUUCCAAAUUGAACAGUGAAAAUGCAGACUUAUUUAAUCUGCGUUUCAUAUUCAAAGUUCGGCUACUGAAACCCUGGAGCCCAAUACCAUCCAUCUGUACUAUGAACAUUUUGGAACAGAAACUUAAAGCAGACCUGCAUAAUACUACAAUCGUGCCACAUGAAAUAAAGAUAUUCAUGGCAAACCAAAUCUAGAGAACUGUAAAACAUGACAGCCUAGAACCGCAAGAACUAUUAAUCAUCCGAUAUAGAUAAAAUCCCCUUUGCAUAAUACAAGUUAACACUGAAAACUAGCCAAUCAAUCUAAUUUUCAAGCAAGCUGACAUUAAUUUCAACCGUUUCAUGUUACGCCUAUAAAAUUUCAAAGCACGAUUCCAAACUUGACAAACAUGCAAUACCCAAAACCUUUAUUACAUUCAAAAAGUAAACUUUUGGGACGGGUAAACGAUGAAACAUCCAUUCAUUCAAUCAAUCAAAAAGAUUCAGAUCAGUAAAAAGUUGCUGAUACCUCGGGUGCUAAAAAGUUCAUUUCUUUGGAGCUGCCAAAGCCAUGAACACAAAUUACUCUAAAAUUGGACUUAUCCUUGGGGACUCCCACUUCUCUGUAAGCCAAGUAUCUUCCAUCACUCAGCCUGAUUCUUGGUGAUUUGUUUACUUCAGCUAGAUCUAAUGGCUGUGUUUCAGCAGCCUCAGAAGGAGAUGGCAGUGUAGGCUGAUCACUUAAUCCGAGGCAGCCAAUCAUCAUACCAAAAAAUCUCCUAAAGACCAUGUCUGAAUUAUGACAAAAACAUCAACAAAAAAAUUUACUGAUUAGAUUUCAGGAAAUUGAAACAUGGGCUACUCUUGUAUUCUUCGUUUAAUUGAUGGGGUGGUUGAAUUAAGCUCACCUGAGCCAGCUUUUUCAGCAGAAGCGAUGGUGGAUAUGGGCUCUCCGGUGGAAGUUUUGUUAUCGGGGUCAGCAGUUGUAGAGUGCCUUGGAGUCCUGUUGGAGACACUGUAAACUCUCGAAGCCUUUAAAAAAAGAGAUCUGAUUUACUAAUUAUUUGUGUGUAUUUCACUCUUCCUUCCCUUCUAAGUUUUAAAUUUAAUUGAUUUGUCACCCUUGUGCAGCCUGGUGAAUCCUGAUUGUAACUUAUAGAUGGUUUUAUAAUGGUAAGAAGUAGGUGCUAAGUAUGUACAUGUAUAUUUUAUUGGAUGGAGUGGGCGGGGAGCUGUGGUUGGGGGUUUUCCACUUAAUUCUUGGGUUAGGAGAGGAUUAUUGCCUUAUUAAUCGAGAAUUCGAGGGCCUUUAUGCAAUACAACAAAUCCCACCAAGAUUACCAAAAAAAAAAAAAAAAAAAAAAAAGGAAAAAACUUGUCGAGUAUUUUCCUUAGUAAUGCCAAUUUAAUUCUUGUCCCAAUCAACUUGUAAAUGCCCAAAACGGGAAAGAAGGACCUAGGAAAUGAAGCGAAAUGUGAAUUCAAAACGAUAAUGAAAAGAUAUUAUUUAUACACAAAUACGUACAGGUGAAAGCUACGUUUUGCAGCAAUUAAUUGUAUUAGCGUAUAAAAAUUGAACUAUAUAUAUUGAUAAUUGAAAGCUAUAAAAAAUUCAAUGAAAAAAACCCCGUGAGCCGACCAAGUUGUCAAGAAACGAGAGUUUCUCUUUUCCAAUUGUUUCAGCCCCACACACUUCUCUUUUCCAAGGAAACUUCUUCCUCAUAUUUUUCAGGCUGCAAUUGUUAGCAAGCUUUACUGUCUCCUGGUCCCACUAGCAAAAGGAGAUGAAUAAGUGCAGCAUCUUUCCAACACAUUUGAGUUGAGGGCAUUCUACAUGAAUUCUUGGCAGUUUCCAACUUCCGAGCGUUAGAAGCAUCUGUGAAGGUAGGCUUUGAAAGUCGAAUGCGCAUUCACAUUUGACAGAAGGAAAGAAACUUCUGCAAUUGGCAGGUUUACUAAAGAAACUCAGGAUUCCGAUGCAAACAUCGGAGUUACUAAAGCAGUUGCGAUCGUUGAGUUGGAGUGUGAACGUGAUAUUUCUUCCAGAGACGUUUCCAAUUCAUAAUAGGAAUCAUUUGUAAUAGGUUAUCUUUUUAGGCUUUCCUUUGUCAACCGGGAUUCUCCUGAUCUUGAUAGCUAGAAACUAGGAAACUAAUUAGACAAGAGGAAAAAGAGAACGUUUGGCUUUUAUAUUCUCCAACCAGGAAACAUUACAUCGCAUCUUCAUCUUUAUCUUUGUGAAAAGACGGGACGACCUUGUAAUACUUCAUCUUUUGCGUUGGAAUUUUUCUCCGUGACGAACAAUUAAUUUCUUUUCUAGUCAAGGAUCAAUUUGAAAACACGGUUCCGUGAGAUCAAAUUGAUUUUUUAUUAUUUCUUUUAAUUCAUUGGUAUUCAUGUAUUUUCUAAUUUAAUUUCUUAUGAUUGUUUCGUUAUUUGAUUGUCAAAGGGUCCGAUAUUCAAAUUAAUCUAAUAACCUACUGUCAUAUUAAUCGAUUAAAUCUAUAAUUGUUUGAUUAGUUGAUACUAGUGGCAACUAGCGUGAUUGAUUUCAUAUUAGGAAAACGCAUGAUCUAAUUUAAACAAACUUUCGUAGCGUGUUUGUUAGUUAGGGUUGAAUUUUUCUAGUUUCUAAUGCAAUUAGGAAAUUAAGUCAUAUAGUCAUAGCCAAGGUUAUUUUUUGGUUAGAUAAAUAGUUAAGGGCCGUACAUUGAGUAUCGAUGAAGUAAAGAAAAGUUGAUUGUCGGUGUUUGUUAAUAGUUAUAAUCAAUCUAUUAAUUAAUAAUUAAACUAUUUUUGCAUCGAUGAUUAGUUGUGUGAACCAUACAUAAAAAGUUACACUUUUGACUAGAAUCAUAUGUAUCGUUGAUUUAAUUCCUAUUUAUUUUCACAAAUUACUUUUCUAAUUAAUUAUUUUUAAAAUUUCCAAAAAUUUCCAUUUUAUUUAGUGUUUUAGAAGGAAAUGAAUCAUCCACUUCCCGAGUAGAUAACUCUAUUCGCCGCUAUACUUGAAUUUAAAUUUUUAAAGUAGGAAUUUUAAUUUUGGUGGUUUGACACUUAUCACUAGUAUCUUUUCCGGUCUUACAGUAUCACAUCCAUGAUUUGGACGCUGAACGUGACAGUGAAGAGACCCCUAAGAGCUCUCUCUUGAUCAUGGAUUUGGGGCAGGGACGGUCAUCAGUAUGACCGUCCCUGCACGGUUAAAAUUUUGUGCGGCUGAAAAUUGGCCCUCAAAAUUUUGUGCGGCUGAAAUAACACCAUGUAACUAGAAAUUCGCGUCAAGUGUGGGGCCAUCACUAUCUGUUGUGAAAAUACAUCCUGUGAAAAAAAAGUUACGCGCAGUUGAACCAAUGUUACGCGCAGUUGAAAUGAGCUAAAAUUGGCAGGGACGGUUGCAGCCCCGAGUCCCUUGAUCACAGGGCCAAUUCUAGUGAUUAAUUGGGCUCAAUAAAACUAAUUGUAAUGGAAAUUUUAUAUUGCAUGCAAAUGUUUAUAGUGAGGUUUGUUUCAAAUGCAACAAAUAUGUUCCAGUCACAGAAAAUAAAUCAAGUGUCAAUCAAGAUUGUAAUGUAAGAUGGGAUGUCUAGGUAUUUAGUCACAAAAAAGCAACUCAAAAUCAUGACAUGCUUGUGCAAUAAAUACAAAUAUAGAAAAGUAUUGCUAAAAACAAAGAGGUGAAUUAUCUUCUAUUUCACUUCUCUCGUACAAAAUCAUGACAUGCCUACGAGAUAGAUACAGGCAUUAGAAUAGCUUAAAAACAAGGAGUUGUUGGCUGUCUUUUGCUUUAUUUCCAUGAUUAAGGAGGCUUCAUGUGCAUGUCCAGCGCCGAAUGCAAAAUGCUACAAAUAAUAGUCAAUCGAAAUUUUGGAUAUAAAAAAAAUGAAACACGUAAGCGGGCAGUUUAUUUCUUGGGAGUUUAAACAUGUGACCGCCAGCUUAUAUGGUGCAGUCUAUUUACAAUGGACGAGGAAGGCAAGGCAUCAUCAUCCAUUGAACACUUGGACAUUCUUCAUAGAAUAUUCCAACUCAAUGAUUCACGUUAGCUUUCUACUUUCCUAAAAUAUAUUUCUUGAAAAGGAUUUGUCAAGUGGAUUGUCGAGGUAUAGAUUGGGUGAUAUCCAAAUAUAAAGUGUGAGUGAUGCUACUAAAAAAAAAAGGAGUUGUCAAAGGGAAAAUGAAUGGAUUAGGUGUCACAGGGAAAGGCAGUAUAAGUGAGAGUUUUCGAAUUUGAAACCUCCCACUUAUAAAAAAAAAAAAAAAAAAGGUUAUAGAAGGCAUUUAUUAGAAUGAGUUAUGGAUUGUGAUACUGAUAUUUUUCUUAAAAGUAAAAUUAAAUCCGUGAUGUUUGAAUAUAAAAGAUAUAAUAUAAAUAGGGGUAUGUACUCGCUCAAAAUUAAAUGUGAAAAAGGUGUAUUAAGAGCAUAUGUAAGAAAAACUUCAAAAAAGAAAAUUCCAUUUGGCAUAUUAAAUCAAGUCAAAAAAUAGAAAUUUUUUGAUAAUACUAGUUUUUAGGUUAGAGAGAGGCCUAGCCUGUAAGCUAGCCCUCUGAUGAGUUGACCAAUUUCUCUAUCCCCGCUUCUUCUCCUUAUAUUAUUAUAUAGCAGUGUUUUAGUCAAAUUAAGAUUUUAGUAAUUCUAUUGAAAUUAAAUUAUAGUAAUUUUAGUAUUUAGGAAUUAGUUUGCUAUUAGAAAAUUUCUUGUUGUUGUAAGAUUUAUUUACCAAGUCAUUUAGUCUAUAAAUAGGGAGUCUUAAUAUUGUUGUCAAUUGAAAGGGUCUAUAAAUAGGUCUUAAUAUUGUUGUUAGUUAAGAAGAGUUAAGAAUUGAUAAUAUAUUGUUGCCAAUUGAGAAGAGUUAAGAAUUGAUAGCCUUGUUAUUAUUAAGUAUGAUUAUUGAUAUAUUGUUAGUAUUAUUCAUCUUCUCCCAAACAUACUUAUAUGUAGGGUUGCAAACGAGUCAAGUUACACGUGAGCACUUGAGAGCCGGUGCAAUCAAAACUCAACUCGAAUUCGAUCAACAUCAAAUUAGAGUUGAGGUUCAGCACAGAAAAACUUAGCUCAUUAGCUCGCAAUAUUACUUUUUAUUUUAAUAGUGAAAUUAUGUAUAUAUGUCCAUAAUAUUUUGUUAUUUGUUAAGAAAAAUUACGAUUUUUUUAAUUUUUUUAAGCUCGAGUAGGCUCGAUCUAAAGCUCAACUCGGCUCACAUUUUAAGUCAAGUUCGACCUCAAACUUUAUAUUGAGAGGUCAUCCAACACGAGUUUGGAAAAAUUGAGUCGAGAUUCGACUUGAUUAAGUUAAAACUCGAUUUGACUCGAUUCAUUUGCAAUCUGUGUGGAAAUUGCUUCUCCCCAUAUACAUUAAUUUUAUGAAAUUCAUCUACUAUAUGUUCUUGUUGGAAUUUUUUGGAUUCUACAACUAGUAUUGAAGCUGUAGGUUCAAAAAAUUGAUCCUGAGCGCUUAUAAACAUUGAAGAAUUGACCUGACUAGAAACUUAGUUUUGGGAGUUUUCUACGGUCAAAAUUAGAGCAUAGGUGAAGAAGUCAGUUGAUCGAGUUAGAUCACAAGGCUAAUCUUGAAGUAUCCGGCAGGUGAAUAUUGAACCAUAAAAUUGGUUUGAAAAUUGUCAUAUUGAUUGCAGUAUUGCGAUAGAGACCAGAGAACAAUCCUGUUAGUUGAAUUGCUUGCGAUUAUUAAAAUUACAAAGUGAGUUGUCAAUAAAUUGACAUCAUACAUAUUAUGUGAUGAAAAUCAUCUAUUCAACAAUCUAUUCAAGUACAUGGAUUAUUGCAACAAGGAAGAACCAUACAAAGUGAUGUUGUCAGAAUUUGACAAAGAGAUUAUUUAUAAUGAUGGUGGUGAACUUGAUUGAUUGGAUAGUUUGAUUUAAGCGAGGCAAUGUUGGUAUAUUAAAACAAGUCUCAUAUUAUUAAAUUGCAGAGUUUUAGUCAAGUUAAGAUUUUAGUAAUUCUAUUGGAAACAAAUUGUAGUAGUUUUAGUAUUUAUAAAUUAGUUUGUUAUUACGAAAUUUUUUGUGGUUAUAAGAUUUGUUUACCAAAUAAUUUAGUUUAUAAAUAGGUAGUCUUAAUAUUAUUGUCAGUUGAAAAGAAUGGAGGAUUGAGAGCCUUGUUAUUAUUACGUGUGAUUAUUGAUAUAUUAUUGAUAUUAUUUCUCUUCUUUUAUACAUACUUGUAUGUGUGGAAAUUGCUUCUCCCUAUAUAUAUUAAUUUUAUGAAAUUUAUAUACGAUAUCUUCUUGGUAGAAUUUUUUGGAUUUUACAUACCACGAUAGUAAUCAAGUGUACACUUUUCUAGAGCCUUUGUUUGAAGAAAUGAAUUAGGACCUCCACAAUAACUUUAAUAUGAGAGAGAAUCAAAUAAACGGAUCACAUGUUUGUUUUUUUCCUACCAAAACAAAAUAUUAAUGGACCACAUCCCACAAAAAGUAAUAGAAAAAAAAGUAUUAUUUCAUGAGGUGCCUACCAGACACUCGUUAAUACAUCUAAAUAAUACUUAAUUUAUUAUGCGAAUGUAUAUAGUUAUAAUUAUUGCACCCCUGUAUUUAGCUAUUUUUCUGAAUUAAUUAUACUUUUAAAAAAAACUAACACCAGAAACCCUCUUAAUGGUCGCCUAUUUGGCACGUGUUAGUCAAACUGAUUGGAAAAAAGAAAAGUCCUGCGUUCGUUAAUCUUGCAUGUGUUAUACUUCUUUAUAGAAAAGUUCCCCUUAUAAUUUCAUCAUUAAACAUGCAAGUGGUAAUGAUUUAAUUUGGUAUUGACUCGUGGAAUUUACCCGGUCGCUAACUCUUACCACCUGACAAUAUAAUCAAUCUGAAGACCUUUAAAGCAUCUUGAUGACAACUACAGACUUGCCAAAUUUGGCUGCUUGAAAAAUCUGGUGCACCUGUAACUUGUAGCACAAUAAUUCUUGGCAAAACAAAAUCAGAAUUAAAUAAUCUUGGGACAAAUUUAUAUUUCAAUAUAGUAAUUAGCACGAUCGGGAAUAAUGGAAUCAUCUGUUUGGUUUAUACCAGAUUUAAGAACAUUCUAUGGAGCAUUUCCUCUAUUACGUUCGGUGAUGUUACUGUGUCUGUUUAAUCUAUUGGAGAUAGUUGAUUUUGGCCCCAUUUGAUGUAUUGUUUUAGAGCAUGUCAUUGUAUAAUUUCAUGCGAUUUGAAUACCAUCUGAACCUGACCAUUUUGCAUCAGCAAUUGGGGCCAUUUUUUAGCACUGGAAGAGGGCAAUCAAUACGAGUCCAUGCACCAAAGGACAUGCUGGGAAUCAAAUCAACGUUUUAUGGUAUAAGAUUCAAAGGUAAAACAUUUGGGUUUUGACAUUUUUGUUGUUGAGGACUAAUAAGUAUCAAAACUCUGUAAAAAAUUUGUUGCAUCAAGCAGGCAUUUCAUGCCCGUUACAUUUUUGCUUAAAAUAUGCUCAAGAUUUGUGUAGAGCUGAACAUAGAAAAGAUUUACCUAAUAAAAUUUAUCGGUAACAUUUUUAUAAUCUAAUCUAUCCUAAUCUAGGGAAGGGAGAGCCGAUGAGAGUUGAAUCACCAUCGGAAAAAAGCCACCGAAGGCAGCCACAUAUAGUGGCAAAUUGGUGGGAGGUAAAAAUUGAACACUUGACCUUUCACACCACCAAGACUUAAUUGCUUGGUCGUGACAGCCGGUGGCCCUUUUGUGGUAAUAUAUGAGUGAUGGGAAUUGUACUUGCAACUUCUUGAGCCCGAGAACAUGAGCAAAGUGGCGAAAUUUCCUUGAGCUGAUACUUUUUGUCAUCUUCUUUAGGCUGCUGCUUCCUUCUGAUAAACCAGAAAACAAAUGUUUUUGCAGUAUCACAGCUUGCUAUAAUCUCUUCUUACACAUUUCCCUUGCAAGGAAAACAUGGCCUACAUGCGCAGAUGGACCAGAUCUUGUCGGAUAUCUAUCAUGUUUUCAAUUAAUUUUAUGAAUCGAAUCAAGGGAAUUCUAGUUAAAAACACAAAAAAAUAGCAAGAUGAAUCCAAAACACAAACAUGUUGAUGAGGAAAAUUUUUAGCCCCUUCAACAUCAGCUGCAUCCCAAUAUUUCCUUUCCUAAGUUGAAUUCACCCAGGUGGAACGUAGUUGUUACCUUAUGUGAAUAUACAUUGUAGGGCGCUGAUUGUAGAUAUUCAGGUGCUAGUAUUUGAAAGUGUUAAAGUCUAGGGGACUUAGUAAAUUAUGAAUGUGUGCAUUUAAAUCGUCAAUGAUAUACAACCAGUAUCUACUAAACACCCGUUACAAAAGUCUCAGAUGAUGGCAGUGGAGUUUGGACAAGUCAUAUAAUAUAUGGAUAACAAGUUUGGCAAAUUCAAUGAUCUUUUAAGCAAGAGUUCUUCUGCCAAACAGUUAAUGGAACAUGACUUGCCAAGCUUAACUUUUUGUUUCCUUAUCCAAUUGUCUGCGAGAGAAAGAGGAUUGGGACGUGUAUGCAUGAUUGCACUUAGCUUUAGCAUUAAAAUGGAGUAAUCUUAUAUGUCUACCAACCAUAAGGUACUGUUCAACUAAGUUAAUUGCUGUAAAUUGUAAAUUGACCUAACUUGGACAUUCUAGGAUGGUUGGAAGAACACUGGACCAAGUCAGAAAUGAAAAAAGAUCCUUGCUUAGAUUUGUAGGACAAUAGGGGCAUGGUUUCUUGUCAAACCAAAAGUAGGCACCCUAUCAUUUGACACCAAGCUGCAGCACAUCUCAUCUUGCUUUGAACUGUCUCUUUGUUCUUUCAUAUGUUUUCCCUUUUUGUCACUCUCCCCAAGGUACCACGGCCAGGGAGCAAGGAGAAGAGGAAGAAAGUUGUAGAAAGUGUUAAAGCACAGCAUAAAAAUUCAUGUGAAGAAUGAACAAGCAGAAGAAGAGUGAAGCUAAAACUUGUGAAAACUUGGCAUUGCUUUACAAUUAAUACAGAGAUGAGAAGGCUUUCUAUAGCUAUUUUGAAUUCACUAAAGCGGACGUACUCAUGAAGGCAUUAUUUAUUUGUAAAACUUUUUGAAGCCAUCUUGAGGAUGAACGACAUCAUGCAGUCAAAAGUUCCCUCACUAUGGAUUCACAUAAGCUGCCAUUGAAGGCCAGAAAAUGUCCAGCAUCAGGAACC